Molecule: long non-coding RNA, 64648 nt
Filed under: Setaria viridis
Lineage: Eukaryota; Viridiplantae; Streptophyta; Magnoliopsida; Poales; Poaceae
Description: long non-coding RNA (SVIR_LNC003547)
Source: RNAcentral
GGUUGUGCGACUAAGGCAGCAGCUACAGCAUGCCGCAAUUCGGCGUUCUCGCAGUGUGCGAACAACUGCUACACAGUUUGCACCGCCGGGACCAUCGCGCCUUGCGCUUGAAGAUGCAUUUGUGUUCCUACUUCCACAUUAUUGUUACUGGUGAGUGUGUGCAAGCAGGCCUGCCGUCCACGGGAGGAGGCACGCAAGCACGCAUGAUAAGCCACUGUCGUUUUUCCACUUUAUCAUUUACUUAUUGAAGGCAAUGUACGUGCCUAGCUCCUGUGUGGUUGAGCAUGUCAUCUUGGAAUUUUGUCCAAAGUUUAACAUACCAUGUUGUAUUGUUGUGUAUGGGUAUCAAUAUAAUUUAUCAACUAUUUUUCGUUUACCAUAGACAUUUCUAUGUUUAUUUGCAAGGGUUAGGGAAAUUUGUCCUUGAUAGUGUACUAACCGCGUCUGCCAACUGAACAGAUCAACUUUCUCAACAGCCUAUCUCCUACUUGAAAAAAUAUUCGCUUUAGAAAUGGUUUGUUUCUUUUCUGUGUAGCUCUAUCACCCAUCACCGUGAGGGUUACAAAACUCGGCGCAAGGGUUCCAAGCUGUGGCGCCACAAACCACAUAAGCUGUGGCGCAAGGGUUCUAGCUGGCUAGUCACAAACAACUAUUUCAUCCCGGAUGUCUUCCAUGCCCAUGGAGCUGCCGCUUUCUUGAUCGAGUAAUCUAUGCGCAUGAACGAGUUCGGUAUUUGUCUGAUCGAGGAAGACGAGGUAGCACAUUUAUGUGAAAGCAGUACUGGCGGACAUGAUGGUCGGUGGCCUAUUGAUUAUCUUCCAACUCCUUUAUGCCAUUAUCAGUACUACAGAAAUCAUUUGUAGGGGUGAAGUGUUUUUUUUUAGGGUGGACCAAAAGGUCUGCCGCCCCCAGGGGCGGAGCUACAGUCAACCAUCGAUGAUUUGGUCGCGAGCUCUUAUAUCCUUCCCAGGAGCCCAUACGUUGCUACGGAUGAAAAUAAUGUAUAUAAUUACAUUAAUCAUGAUUCGUUAUUUCAAAUGUGUGACAUAUUAUCGAAUUUACGUAUCUUUCUAUGCAUUUUUCGAACAAAGAGAUAUUUUUAUAAUAAUUUUAUCAGAGUAACAUUAGACAUAAUCUUCUAUGGUAUAUUAUGUACUCUAGUAUGUAAAUCUUAUGUUUGUUUGUGUAGUCUUCUACGUUGCUCGCUUUUUAUAAUAAAAGUAGAGAGAGGUGUGCGCCUGUGAACAACAAAAACCCCAAAAUGUAGACAAUAAUAAAUAUAUUAUAUUUAUUAUUUUUUCCUAGAAUAAAAAUAUGGACUCAUCGAGCCCAUGACAAGCGCAAGGAGGUGGUCCGGCAGCCCCAUCCAUCCAUCCAUUGUUAUCCACACUUGCUAAACAAAUGAAUUAAAAACAUAAUUUUAUCCACACAAGAGACGGAUGAAUUGUUUGGUACUGCACUUUCUUAGACGUUGCUGUUGCUGGAUUGGGCAUUAGGAAGGCGUCGCUCGGCUGUGCAGAGGUGCCAUUGGGGCUUUGUGGAGGCACCCCUACGUUGUGUCGGAGCGGAGCUACAGGCAGCGUAAGCGGCCGGGUAGCACGCCACAACAUGCUAGAGACAGCGCCGAGCCUUGAGCCUUCGACUGGGGCUGCUUAUAGCGCCAACACCGCUCUGUAUCUUGCUCAGUGGAUGGGCGGACGACGGCGAGCGGCGCCUAGGAGAACUGCAAAUGCUCCUGCACACAUGCCCCAUGGGCCGGAACUGCACACUAACCCCCGCGAACGAUGGUAGUAGGGCAACAAAGCUGGCCAUGGCGCUGCUCGUUGAGCUUUCCGUGUGCGCGAACAGGCAUUUGAUAUAUUCCCUACAAAAUUAAAGGUUGUUUGAUUCAACGGUCAAAUAGUGCGAGCAUGUUAAUUGAUGCGAGUGUAUUGUGGGAACUGCCAAGGAACUGCAGGGCAUCGAGCAAGCAGUGGUGUUGCUCGGAAGUACCAGCACUGACGCGCUUUCUGAUGUGUCUCCAGCGGGGGUGGCAGCGUCUGCCUGCUCGGCAGCAGUUUCACCCUAUUCUGGGCAUCUCCCCACGCGUCUUGGCCAUCAUUACCUCUGGCAUUGUUAAGGUAUGGCUUCCUUUCAGCGUCGGCCGUUUCUUUCUCCAAUGACCGGUUAAAAGAUCAUUAUCUAAUCAACCAUUCACGUCGCCCAUAGUGUAGGCAACAGGCUAUUCUAUUGCGAUCCGCUGUCGCCUAUCGCUUCCCUUCAGAAUUUGAAGUCAGAAAUUCUUUUGUUUCAAUUUUGCUAGCUCCACUAGUUUUCUUAAAUCAGAAUCAAGUUGAAACCAGAAGAGCCUUGUUAGCUUGUUUGAUCUAUACUUCGUUGUAGCAAAUGUAAAAUGACAACUCAUAUAAUGGUUGUUUCAUAUUCUAUCUGCAAGUCUUCUUCUCAUUCACACGAUGGAUGGCCAUAGGCACAAAGAGAAUUGAAGUAGUAGACCAUAAUCAAUAUAGUAAAAGCUUAAAAUCUCAAAAUAUGUCAUCAUUUAUUUUUCAUUAUGUUAUCCAUAGAACUAUAGUAUGAGUUAGAAUAUUGCAUGGACAUCAGAUCAGCUACAACAUUUCCUAGCUUCGCCCUUCGCCGCCCCUGCAGCAGCUAGCCCAAUCCAGGAAAUGUAUUUCCCAGGUGGGGGUGAGCAGACCCUGGAAAUAAGCUGGGGACGGACCAGCACGUCAACCGUCUCUGAAAAUAGCCCAUUUCAGAGGUGGGCAACUCCAUGGUCCGUCCUAGCAGAUUGAAUUACAGGAGCAGACGACACGAAGCAUCACCCUGCUGCUCAACCAAAUUUUGUAUGGACAACGCGCAAAUGAAAAGGCAAGCGGAAAGCAUAAGGUCCAUUCUGCUCCGCACAUAUAUCUUAUCUCAACCACAGCUUUCCAUGUCAUCUCCUUAGAGAAACUCCGACAGAUUGAUUUUCCACAUUCCCCUUUAUCCUCUUAUAGGGCAUUCCCUUUCACGAUUUCUGAAUUUUGAAGACUAGUGCGGCAAGAAAUUUUGUAUAGUAACAAAGAUAAUCUCAGGCCCACUUGCUACACAUACAUGCACGGUAAAUAGAAAUGGUCAUUUUCUAUGUCUAAGGCAUGCUCAGCUUCAAAGUCGUUCUGUUGUUAGCAUCGUUGUGUUGUUUCUGAUAACGUGCAGGAGGAAGCCAAAACACAGAGUAGAAAGAGGAUGAGAAAUUAAAGAAGACAAUGAAGCUCACGUUCACGUCUACAUGAGGGAGCUCUCACACAAGCAAGUCCAUUCAUCCUCUGUCUCCAUGCUGUUGAUGAUAACAUAUCACAUGUCCUUUGCCUUGACGUCGGCGGCAGGCUGGCAGCCCAAUGAACCCAUGACGAACAGCAUGAGCAUGACCAGCUAACUUCAUUGCUGAGUACGACAUGUGGUUAUCCUUGCUAUAACUAAUGUUGGUCAGAAGAAGAAGCUGCUAUAAAGUUGUUCUGAAGACGCUGAGUUCUAGGCGUACGCAAGCCCCGGUUGAUUGCCUGCGAGGUUUGGAACCUUCGUUUCCAGGAUAAAGCUGUAAAUCUCUGAUAGACUCUCUUUAUAUCUCUUUAUGUGAUACUAUUACUGUUAUUCACUGAUGAUGUGACUAUAUGUAUGAAACUUGAUCAUGUCAUACAUACAGUUAGCACUUGGUUUUGCUGUUCUAAAAUCAGAUGUGACACCUACGAACCCAUGACGAACAGCAUGAGCGUAACCAGCUAACUUCAUUGCUGCUGCCUUUCGUAGAUGUUGGUGAACAUGACGUGUCUUUCAUCUCCACGAUGGCGACGGAUCCAAAGAUCGAAGAACAUGCAUCAACGCGAUCCGUAUGGCGUGUUUUCUGGUAUUUCCACCCCAUGAUGUAACGCCGACCAGGUUCCAUACGAGGCCUACGGCCACUCUGUUCACUUUCAUCACGUGCUCCGAUGAGAGUUCAUCACCGUGAUAAAAGACGGAGAUGAGGGCACACAGUCGUAGCUGCAAGUAAGGCCAACAGGCUCAAGGCCAUGGCUUUACAGCCAGCAGUCUUGCCUUGCAUGCACUCACGGACUAUUACCGGACUAGCAAUUGGUACUUUGACGCACUACAUGGACCCUUACAAAUUAAAAAAAUGAACGUCAACAAGCAAAUGAAACUGCAUGAACUGAAGUAGGGAAAUGAAGACCACGUACAGUUCUUAUUGAAGCUGAAAUGUAUGUCAUAAAAGUAUUAUUGUUAGAUUAAAGUCAAUUUAAAUAUUUAAACGAGUAACGAGGGCUCUGAUUAGUAGCAGGUGUAGUGAGGCCCUCCAAUAGACCAAUCAACGAUUUUUAGUUCCAACUGUUUAUAUGGUAAGUUCGGAUAUUUAAUUAAUAAAUUGAAGUUGCCUUAAAAUAUGCAUAGUAAAUCACAAGACCAAAGUGGAAUAACCAUUAGACAACUAAUAAAACCAUCUUUAAGUUUUUCUCUACUUUUAGCAAUAUUGCUUAGGUUUUCUAUUUCGUCUAAAUAUAUCUUAAGCGGCUCAUAUGUCCGAAUUACCCACACAGUGAAUAAAUGUCAUUCCAGUUCAAGGAUUCAUGUGCAGUUGUCACACACUAGUGUGAACCCAUCAAGUGUGUGUCUUGCUUCCCUUUUCAAUCAACAAGCUACCUCCCUGAUUUGAAUAUAAUAAACUUAAAUGCUUCAGUUUCUAUGGUCCAUUGUUAUGUGAUGGAUAUGAAAAAUGAAAAAUAUAGCCUACAAUGUUCAAAAUGCAUCUGAAGUACUAGGGUAUAAAAUAAGCUCACUGCCAUCCAAGUACAAGGGUUAACAACUAGAAAUAUAACCUUUAUUGCUAUCUGUAAAGAAAAUAUGCCUGUUGAAUUACAUGUUCGGGAAAGGUGAAUGCACGGAUUGAUGGCUACUAUUAGCUAAUGUUGUUGUCUUUUUUGUUAAUAACUAGGUUUCCAAUGCCAAACUCUGCGUAAGGGUUCAGCAACUGGCUACAUAUUGGAAAGGAGUUAGUGUUGGUGGCUAGCCCUCAUUAGAGAUAACUAUUUCAUCCCUGAUGCCUUCCAUGCCUAUGGAUGUACCGCGUGCUCGAGUAAGCUAUGCUUGCAGAUGGAUCUUAAACCUGGUGUCAAAUUGUGGAUAAUUGAAAGAGUUUGCUGUUUGCCUGCUUUAGGGAAGAUGGGUAGCACGUUUAUAUGCCAUUAUUUCUCAUGAAAGCGUGCAUAUACCAUGUUUGUCGGAGCAAGAUGAGGCUGUAGAGUAGUAGACGUGUAGAACAAUGAUACAGGUUGUAUGAAUAAUUUAUCGAAGGGGAUCAUAGACGCCACAGCCACUGAAGCUGUUGAGGCAUGAUUAGUCAAUGGUCUAAUUCCUGAUAUCUCCGUAUCCUGAUUCUCUGAAGCCUUACGGACUCUACCCUCAUCACUUCAUGUAUAUUAGUGUUUAUAAUAGCGGUUUUAUAACAAGUGCUGAAGGUAUUGGUCCUGCUAUAUCUUGCUUCCACUACCGGAUUUGUGUACAAAAUAUUAAUUCUUGAGAUUUGUCAAUGAUUUUAGGAAGCAAUGAUACCUUCAACUACCGGAUUGCAUAUAUAAGUUAGUCUUAGCCAGUUAUAUAUCAGAGGAGGAAGCACGCAUUAAAUAAUAAAUAACUCAUGUUGAUUCAACUGGUAACCUGGCCUAUGUCACUCGGAUACACCGUUUCUCUGAGGUGUUCCAGGAGGCAUAAGUUGUGGAACAAUUCCGCAACUCUUUAGAUGAUUGCUAAACUCAUCAGAUCGUAAGGCCUUAAUUUUUUUGCGAUGCUGAUUUUCAACUUCAUUCUGAAAUUCCUUGAACUUUUCAAAGGUUUCGGACUUGUACCUCAUCAAGUAGACAUAGCCAUAUCUACUAAAAUCAUCAGUGAAAGUUAUGAAGUAUUGGAAUCCUCCUCUAACCUUCGUGCUCAUUGGUCCGCAUACAUCACUAUGUACGAGUUUCAACAAGUCUACUGCUCUCUCAGGAAAUCUUGUGAAAGGUGUCUUGGUCAUCUUGCCUAGCAAGCAAGCCUCACAUAUCUCGUAUGAUUCAAAAUCAAACGAAGUUAGAAGUCCAUCAGAAUGGAGCUUUUUCAUGCGCUUUUCACUUAUAUGACCCAAAUGACAAUGCCACAAGUAGGUAGGACUCAAAUCAUUAGGCCGAGGCCUUUUAGCACUUACGUUACAGACAGGUGAACCAUGAAGAUUUAAAACAAAUAAUCCAUUCACAAUGGGCGCAAAAGCCAUAAACAUAUCAUUCUUAGAGAUCACACAACCAUUGUUUUCACUCGCAAAUCAAUAACCAUCCUUCAUCAAGCAUGAAGGAGACAAAAUGUUUCGACUUAAGCUAGGAAUGAAAUAACAAUUAUUCAACUCCAUAAUAAAUCCUGACAGGAGGUGGAGUUGCAUCGUCCCGACGGUCAACGCAGCAACUUCUUGCAUUAUUGCCCACGCGGAAAUCAACUUCUCCUCUUUCCACACUUCUACUUCUUAUCAUUCCCUGCAUCGAAUUGCAAAUAUGAGCAACCGAUCUGGUAUCAAAUACCCAAGAAUUAAUAAUUAUCUAUAACAUUAACAACAAGCGUACCUGAGGUAGAAGUAUUCUUACUUCCACCAUUCUUCAACGAAGCUAGGUAUUGCUUGCAGUUUCUCUUCCAGUGACCAGGUUCGUGACAAUAAAAGCACUCUUUGUCUGGAGUAGGCCCAGCUUUAGCCUUGGGCGCUGGGUUUGGCUUAGACACUCCAGCCUUACCCUUCUUCUUCCAAAAAUUGCCCUUCUUAUUGAAGGUAGGCUUGUUCUGUACAGCCAUCACAUGGUUGGUACUAGCGCUUUUCUUAAUGUCUACCUCUGCUGUCUUGAGCAUACCAUAUAGUAUAUUCAGACCCUUCUCCGUCCCAUGCAUAUGGUAGUUCGAGAUGAAGUUCCCAUAGCUAGGCGGAAGAGAUGAAAGAAUGAAGUCAGUGGCCAACUCUUUGCCCAUUGGGAAGCCCAUCUUCUCCAAUCGCUGAGUGUAACCAACCAUCUUGAUUACAUUUGGUCCUACUGCUGCGCCUUCUGCUAGCUUGCACUCCAGAAAGGCUUUGGACACAUUGAACCUUUCAGUCCUAGCCUGUGUCUAGAACAUGUCCUUGAGCGCCACGAUCAUAUCGUGUGCCUCAUGAUUUGUUUCGAACUGCAUCUGCAGCUCGGGUUCCAUGCAAGCAAGCAUAAGGCAGCUUACCUCAAGAUUAGCAUCAAAUGCCUUCUUGUAAGCAGCCUUAACGGCAGCAGAUGAAUCAUCAGCAGGUACUGGUGGUAGUGGGGUGUCUAGAACAUCUUCCUUUUUAUCGGCCCUGAGAACAAUUCUCAGGUUACGGAUCCAAUCCGAGUAGUUUGUUCCAUUCAACUUGUCCUCUCAAGGACCGAACGCAAAGCAAAUGGUGUGGUGUUGCUAGGUGCCAUUUAAUCUACAACAAAAGUAAUGCAAAAUACACUAAGACAAACAUAUCCAUGAUAGAGCAAAUCACAUUAAACUAUGUUAACAGAAUCUACUCCCACUAAAAUCAAUAUCCCUCUAUUGAUACUUAGUGAUUCAGGAUCCACAACUAACAAGUCUACUAGUGAGCUUUAGCAUCACCGCUAGCAAACAAAGUAGAUCGGUAAGCAACUUUUCCUAAUCAUAUCACAUAUGACUCCUGUUGUUGGGUGACAUCUCCAUGUCUCGGCGCCCAACCUUUAUGCCCCAAGGUCCUUAAACGUUAAGUUAACCUUGUUAAGCAAACCAACCCUUAUGCAUGUAAGUGUGCGACACAAACCCGUCUAAUCAAGAAAAACUAGUGGCACCCUAAUUUCAUAGACCCACCACUAAUUGUACAAGACAUGGGACGGUGCAAGUUUUAGUUGGGAGGGCAUACUAACUUAAACUUUGUGAGGGAUCGUUCUACUUCUAACAUCACAGCAUGCAGAAAGUAAAACAUAAACAGAAUAGCAUUCACACAGUUGUGACACAGUAUGGCCCGUUUUCUUAUGGUGAUCUUCAUCUCCAUAGAACCUGUUCACCAUGGUGAUCUCCAUCUCCAUGUUCCAUGUGCGCCAUCCUCUUGGUGAUGAGUCCUCCAAGAACUAGAACAUGCUAUUACGCCUAAUAGCUAGUAAAAAGCUAGUAAUGAAGAUUACAUAGUUGGUUGGAUCAUCACAGAUUGGUACGCAGACCAUUAAAUACAUUAAGGUGACAACACAUAUGGCUCCUGCCGUGUUGCCGUACGCACGACACGCAGGUCACGAAUGAGUUACACACAUGCAUCACAUACACAAAGGGGCCAUACUGAUCACAAGAUACAUACAUCUUGCAAAACAGAGUUAAGCGUCCUAACGUUCCAAACUUUGGAGGCCCGAAACUCCAUCUUCCAAGACAAAUUUGGGAAAUCUAAUUUCGCCGAAAAUGGCGAAGCGGUCGAAUUUCAUGUGUAACUUUUUCUGUAGAUCAAUUUUUAUAUAAAAUUCGCCCCGAUCCGAGAUCGUAUCGAAAAGUUACGGCUGAUUUACCGAAGCAUACGCACACGGCAAAAUCCCGACCCCGGCAGUAGAUCCCAUCUACUAUUGCACAUCUCAUGUGCCUGGCGUAUGAACCUAGAUUUCGAUUCGACCAAUCACAUUGAUCUUCGCACACUGCAACUGGAAUUACGUGUAUCACCUAACUCCGAUGGUGGAAACCCGACCGGUAGGAGUAUGUCGUUACACUACCAUAGCAGCAAGAACAGGAAACCAGGACAGAGAUCAAAUUGAAAACUCGCAUAUCUCCAUAUGCACACAUCCCGAAUCCAAAACUAAACAGCUACGGCUCUGAUACCACUGUCGGGAUACGAGGUAGGCUACACUAGCGCAAAUCAAAAAUUUUCUACCGCGUAAACCAGGGAAACUGCCGUAUAAGGAUCACGGGAUUACCACUCGACGCACUACUAGUGCGGAAGAUGUAGAUUCACGUCGAUGCAGCGAAGUCGAUCAACGUAGUCGUACGUAGUCGAUCACGUCGACGUCCAACAGCUCCUCAGCAGCUCGUCCACGUGCAGCAAGAUCUCCCUCGUGCCGCGGCUUGUCGGCGGCUCGUCACGGCUCGUCGGCGGCUCGUCCAAGUGCUGCAGGCGCAACACCUCCAAGGUAUCCACACGUGCAGGGAGGAAGCGUCACAAGCCGGACUGCUAGAUCCGUGAGUUGCAACAGGCGUGGGAGGCGCGGCUGAUGAGUUUCGUCAAAAAGGUGUAAACCUUAGGGCGCCCCCACCCCUCUAUUUAUAGAGGUUCCUAACGGGCCUCUGGGUCCAAGGCCCAUUAGUACUUCUAAACCUAAUCCAACUCGGAUCACAUCCGAAUUGGGCUUCCAGCCCCUUAAGUGUGUGACCCUAUGGGUUCGGAUACGUAUAGACAUGGCCCGAGUACUCUUACUCGGCCCAAUAGUCGGUAGCGGCCUCUAGCAAGACGUGCCAACUCCUAUAUGCACACGAAGAUCAUAUCAGACGAACCAUCACAACAUUAUAUACAUGCUAUUCCCUUUGCCUCACAAUAUUUGGUCUAGCUUCAAGCCGACCGCUCUUUCUCGAUCCUAUGAUUCGGAAUCCCUUUGUAGGUUAACUCUUAACCGUACGUAGCAUGGCCAUGCAUUUUUGGAUCCGAUCACUCGAGGGGCCCAGAGAUAUCACUCUCAAUCAGAGAGGGGAAAAUCCCAUCUUGAUUAACCAUGUCUCAUAGCAUGCUUCUUGACAAACCCGAAAGCUACCUUUAUAACUACCCUGUUACGGCGUAGCGUUUGAUAGCCUCUAAGUAGGUCGAUCCACAUCUUGAAUACAUGCGACAAUCUCAGGUCUAAGGACAAAGCGUAUAUGAUGUUUAAAGAGAGAACUACUUCUCAUGUUGGGUCAGUCCUAGCACAUGUCUCCACAUGAACCCACAUUAUUAGUUCAACAUCUCCAUGUCCAUGACUUGUGAAACAUAGUCAUCAACUAAUACAUGUGCUAGUCUAAUAUUCAUGUGUGUCCUCACAUGAACUCCGACUAGGGACAACUUUAGAAUAACCAUACAAGUAAAGAGUUUCACACACAAUUCAUGUAAUUGCAAAUCAAUUCAAGUAGUCUUUAAUGGAUAUUCAAGGAACACAAAAUAAAUCAUGGAUACAAAUGGAAUAUCAUCAUCUCUAUGAUUGCCUCUAGGGCAUACCUCCAACAAUUUGCAGGGUCAUGCACCAUGCGUGCGGCGACCCAUCCAUCGGACAGCGCAUGGCAUUGCACAAGACGUACUGGGAGGAUAUGCAGUGGAAUGAGCCAGACAGGUACUACGCCCUCCUCGCUCUGCUAGUUGGUGUGGGGAACCUGGAGGCCUGCACCAUCAAAGGGAUUGUAGAUUUCUUCGCCGUCCCCCGGCCAUCCCUCCAAAAGCUUUCCCGCACCACACCGGGUGGGCAUGAUAUGAGGGCCUAUCUUUACGCCCUGAUGAUAUACAGGAACAACAGUGCAAUCAUGGACGAUGACAUUGCGAAGAGAUAAAUCUACCACGUCGAAUGCAAGGAUGGUUCGGCAGUGAGCGGGAGCACAAGCUCAAAGAAGCUGCGCAACGAUGCCUGUCAGGUGUGCCGCGAGGAGGCCGCCUACCUAGUCAAUAGAGUUACAUGGGGCGGGCAUGGUGAUCCGCUUUCACCGGCACCAGUUUGAGGCGACUUCCCUUGCAUUGGAGGCGACUGCGGCAAGGUUAAGGGCUGGGAACAAGCUACGCUUUAUUGCAACGAGGACUAUAGGAUACGCCAUGAAAUUGUAGCGUUCAAAAGGAGAAUGGAGAUCGAUAACUAAUUGUAGGAUUUCUUUUGCUUUUGCCUAAUGUUGUCCAUGACUCGUUGGCUGAACUUGUAGUGCUGGAACUAUGUUUGUGGUUAAUUUGGCUCAACUUGUAGUCACUACAAGGUUUUGUCUAUCCAAUGGAGUUGUAUUUUCGCAAUGUGUUUUUGUGUCUAAGCACACCUUACACCUCCCUACAUAUAGGUGUUAUGAUGCACAUAUAAAAAGAACCCACACUUGGGUACCUUCAUUUGUCCUUGGAUUUCAAUUGUGGGACCCACUACAUCCCGCUAGGUUGUGCCUCAAAUUUUUAGUACUAGUGCAAUGUUUCCUCCAUUCUUUUUUUCCUAAACCCUCAAAUAUAUCUCAGCCUCUACCCCACUUGCCCCCAAAACUGCGCUGGCUGCGUUAGGGGGGGCAACGGUUCCUCUCUGCCCAAGCGACUCCAUCCAUGGCAACUCCUCCUUCCAUGGCGACUCCUUCCAUGGCCGGCGAUGGAGAACCCAGCACACGACCAAGUACGGUCAGAGUCGAGGAAGCCGAUAUUGAAAACAAAUGUUACAGGUUCGCAUCCACCUUUAACGCCUUCUAGGUUAGGGCAGAAAAUUUCUACACAUUAAUUGCGUACAAUCGAUUUGAUGCUGCCUCAUUGGCGCAUGCUUUUAUAAAUCACAGAUCUGAUUACUACUGAUUAGUUUUUCGCAUAGCACUAGUAGUACUACAUCUUCAUUCAUUGAUGCAAGGGUUUUGAUAUCUAUGUGCACAUACAGAUCAGAGGAGUUGACAGGCUAGAUGGAUGUGGCAGGUAAUGGUACAGUGCCUGGGGGCAGAAGGACAAGAUGUGCGCCUGGUUAAGGUAAUAUUGAUAGCGCACAAUUAGACUUUGUCAGCUUGUGGGAUUACAAAGAUCAACUUCGAUAUGGUGCGUGGGACUACUACUACUACAAGAAGAGAAUAGGAAAUGCUGAUGCAUCUGUUCAGUCAAUUGGUUACCCCAAAGAUGUAGAGUGUAUGUUUCAGUACAUGGAUUCAUCUGAAGAAAGGAAACUAAGGUUGAUACUAUCAAAACAAGAAUUGGUUGGAGCUGUCAACAUUACACCCCUGAAACAACCAAGGGUGAAUGAGUCUGAUGAUGUUACUGAUGCUGAUACUAGUAAUGAUGAAUCACUUGAUGAAUACAAAGAUUGUCUUCAAGACCAAGACCUAGAUUGUGGUAUGUAUGCUGUUUGUACUACACUAUGCACAUGUGUCUAUAACUGUACAAUGUACUCACAUAGUUGUGUUGGUAACUUGCAGAUCUAUACGAUAACUACAGGGAAGAAAUAGUAAAAACAUACUCUAAAUGGUUAAGGCAGAAAGGCCUUAUGAGAGAUAUUUGUAAAUCCUUUUUCCUCUGAACUAAUUCUUAUUUUUGAUGAAAAUUGUACAAUCCUCUAAGUGCACUUGUUUUUUAUUUGUUCAGUGGCUUAUAAUAGAGGUCAAGCAAAGCUUACAGAAGUACGUGAUGAGAGCAAUAGUAGUAGCGCCACGCCACCAUCACAAUGGCCAGCACAUGCUAGGAAACCAAAGCAGACAACAGGUUCUAAAAGCUUCACACCUUCUGCAGUUUUUUAUGCUCUUAUUGUGCACGACUUAAUGUAAGUUUCUAUUUUUUGAUUGUAAGUAAGUGGCAAGAAAAUGGACCGAGGAUGCUUGAAAGGGCUAGCUGUGGUGGCCAAGAGAUCGAAGUCUGGCUCAUAGAAACUGAAAAUCAAAUUUUCCAAAAAUGUGGGUGGUCCCUGUGGAGAUAACAGACGUACCUUUGUGGAUGAGGUUGUUCUGUUUAUAAAGUAGAAGGCUCCAUUAAUUGGAGUUAGAAAUUGGAAAGAUGUGUGUCAGCAUGUCAAGGAUGAUAUCGUAGAAUCUGUAAUGGUAUGUCAAUGGCCACCUCAUCCUUCAUUAUAAUGUUACAUAUUAGUCUUGUUCCCUCUAUUUUCUUGGAAACAUAUAUUUUGAAUGUAGCAUACAUAACAAGUUUUCUUUCCCACUAGGAUCAUUGGGACCUUGAGACCACUGAGAGUCCGAACAAAAAGAUAUGGAAGGUUGCCAAUGAACGCUACAAAAGUUGGCGAUCUGUUUUGCAUUCUACAUACAAGGCAUACAACAAUUAUGAUGAGAGAAGGAGACAUAAGCCUGAAGACAUAGACAUUGUGAAGUGGCACUAUUUGAACAUGUACUUUGGAACUAAGGACUUCAAGGUACGCCCUCUUUUGUAAGUAAAAGAACACAAUCAUGAGUUCAACUUUUCAUCGCUAACCAUUACUUUACGGGAUGACUGUGUAGAGUAGGAGCAGCAUGAACUCUUUGAAUCGUAGCCAACUGAGAACAAAUCACUCGGGGGGUUCCAAACCUUUCUCGUAGUGGAGUUGGGAAAAGGUAAAGAUUUGUUUACUUAUUCUCAACUUUCAGUACAUUACACAAUGAUAUAUUAAUAGCGUUUAAUGUUGUAAUCAUAGAGAGAUCCAGUAACUGGCGAUGAGCCACCCCUUUUGGAACUUUGGAAGACUACUCAUACUAGGGAAGAAAGAUGGACAAAUCACCUAGCUGAAAGUAUUUAUGUGUGUACUGAGUGCUAAUUUGAUCAUAACAUUGAUUCGGCAUUACAAGCUAUUUUUUGGUAUGAAAACAUGACCAAAUUAAUGUUACAAUUAAUUGUUUCUUGCCAUCAGACAUGUACAUCUAGAAAAUUAUCUCAACACAAUCAGAUGAAGAAGACCAACAAGUCAUACUUCUGGACUUGCUAAGGAAGACCAAGUUUUCUAGGAAACGUACAGGGAAACAACAGGAGCCAAAUAUAGAAGGUCACGUGGCCAUGGUUACUUGUCGAAUCCAAAACGAAAGCAAGAAGCCCUUCAGGAGAGAAUGAUUCAGGAGAGAAUAGAGAGGCCCGAAGAACAAGAAUGUCAGUUACAGGAAAAAAUGCAAAAGCAUGAAGCUAAAAAGGAAGCAGAGAUAGAACAACUUAAAGUUGCACUUAGCCAAGAAUUGAUGGGGGAAGUUGCUAGAAUGAUCGCGCCUUAUCGUCAGGCUUUACUGCAAGAGGUAACCAGAAUAUAAUUUGUGCAUGUUGAUUUAUAUUGUGUUCUAAAUUUUCAUAAUGUCACUAAUGUCUAGCCUCCCCUCUUUUAAAAUCCGCAGCGUACCCCAGCAAACAACAAUAAUACAACUGAAGUUGAUGCUAGGACCACCGAGGAUAACAUUGAUGCAAGGCCAGUACUGGACAGCCAAGAAAUAAGGAACCAUGUAUCGACAAUAAUUGGUUGUGAUUGAAAAUAUAUAUACAUAUGUCGCUAAUCUCUUGCCUACCCGCUUUUAAAUUGUGCAGCAUACCCCUCAAACCAACAAUAAAACAACUGAUGAUGAAGCUGGGAGCACUGAGGAAAACCUUGCUGCAACACAAGUAGUGCAUAGUCAAGAAACAUCAAACCAGGUAACAAUAUCGAACAAGCAUUCCAAUCAUGAUGGUUUUUUGCAUUAAAUUUCAGCUAAAAUUGUUCCAAAAACUUUAUUAUGAUCCAGAAUGCUCCAAGAACGAUUGUCACAACUGAAAAAAGCACUUUGGCACCAACCAGAAAUGCUAAAACUGCCAACGUUGCAAAGAGUCUGUUCAAUGAGAAUCACGGUAAAGGUGUAGGAGCUGUUGCAGGAUCCAGAUUCAUUAGUACACAUCAGCUUAUAUCUGGUGCUAAAACUCGAGCAGGCAAAAAGAAAGUACAACAAGUACAAACUGGAAGUGUGCUUUCAAUAUUGCUGCAUAUUGAUUCCAAGACAAAGUAGCUUCAUAAGUUUUAAUUCACUUGUUUGUUUCUCUUUGCUUCAGCAGGCUAGUGAAGCUACGGAGGGGCAAUAAGACUCAAGGUUGCCUACAGGUUACAAGCAGAACUUCAAGCAAAGUUGAUCAUCAUGAAUGCUGGGAGUGAUCAAGAUUAUAGAUGUGUACGAAUAAUAUAGGUGUUCUACAUACUUUAUUAUUGGGAGUCAUGUGGAUGAAUGGACAAGAAUAUUUUCCGUUGUAUUAAAAAAUAUGACGACGACAUAUUUCCCGUUGCAAUAUCCAUUGAGCGUAUAACCACGACCCGUAUUGUGUUGCACUAUCCUGUACGCAUAUAACCACGACAUAUUUUGAUGCGAUAUGGUUGAUGCAUAUAACGACGGCACAUACCUCGUUGUGAUACCUCGUGAGCAUAUUACAACGCUUUCUCAUCAUUGCGAUAUCCAUUGAGCGUAUAACCAUGACCCGUAUUGUGUUGCAAUAUCCUGUAUGCAUAUAACCAUGAUAUAUUUUGUUGCGAUAUGGUUGAAGCAUAUAACGACAGCACAUACCUCGUUGCGAUACCUUGUAAGCAUAUUACAAUGCUUUCUCGUCGUUGCGAUAUAAUUUAAGCAUAUAACGAUGACCCAUAUUUCGUUGCGAUACCCUUUAAGCAUGUUGCAAUGCCAUAUUUUGUUGGAAUAUGGUUGACGCAUAUAGCCAUGACUAGUAUUUCGUUGAGAUAUCCUCUUAGCAUAUUGCAAUAGGAUAAGUCUUGUAUUGCAACAACAUUCUUGUGUUGCAUUAACGCUUGUUUGCAACAGCGCAAUGUCAUUGCAACAGCCACUAUAGCAACGACGCCUGCCGUUGCAAUUAACAAAAUUGCAACGACAAUGGACGUUGUAAUAUCCACUUAUUACUACGACACACAUCGUUGCAACAACUCACCCUUAUGCCCAAGGCUUCCUGUGUCAUUGUAAUACCCUAUUACAACGCAAGUUUACGCAACGACAUGAAUUUUAAGGCAACGACACAAAAUUAUCGCAAUAGCUCGCUAUUGCAAUGAAAUGACCCCUAUUGCAAUGAUUUCGUGCUGUGGUGCUAGUGACAAGACCUUGUAGUGAAUGAUUUGGCUGCUAGCGUCACUUGACCUACCCAACUCCCUCCGGGUUGGACGGUUGAGUGGGAUUCCUCCUCAGACGGCGAGGAUAGGGGUCAUUGAUGUCAUGAUCGGCUUCGUCAUGAUAUCGUGUAUCGACGUUUAGUUUCCGCAUGUUUUACUUCUUUGUUGUUUGAAACCGUGCAAACUCUGAUCUAAUAAAUUAUUGAUCUUUCUAUAAUAUGAACGGAAUGUUUUAAUCUCUGUAAGCACUAACCUUUGUGUGAGCAAUGCUUAUCGAUCCUGUAUAUGUGGUUUAUCAGAGGAAAUCCAACGGUCGACUAAGUUGACUUGUUUAAGGUGCUUGAUCGCGUGUUAGGUGACUUAAGUGCACUUUAGCCAGGUUAAUUUUAGGCCAUUCCGCCACAACAUGGAUACUUUUUCCUCUUGGUUGCAUCAACACCUUAUAGGUAACUCUGAGAUUCACCCACAGCUCGCUUGGUUAGCUAAGGGACCUUCUAGCAGAAUCGUGAAAUUCCAAGGCUACAAGAUAAAUGAUUAUACAUUUUACACGAGAGCCCAAGACCAAAAAAGCACGAACCAAAAUAGUGGUGUCCGCAUAGAUGUCAUUCACAGCACCGGUAGCAAGGACUCCUAUUAUGGUUUCAUAGAGGAGAUAUGGGAACUCGAAUACAGACCGCUGAACAUCCCUCUGUUUUGUUGCUAAUGGGUGAAGCUAACUGGCGUAACCAAAGAUCAGCAUGGAAUGACAAUAGUGGACCUGACCAAGACUGGAUACAAUGAUGAACCAUUCAUACUUGCCAAUGAUGUGCAUCAAAUUUUCUAUGUGAAGGACAUGUCUAGCAAACCAAAAAAAAUUCAGAAGAGCCAUGGAAGCCAAAGCGCCACAUAGUGCUUCUAGGUAAGAGAAAAAUCAUGGGAGUCAAAGAACAAAAUAGAGCAAUCAGAUCAUUAUGAUUAGUUUGAUGGCAUGCCUCCAUUCUCUAUUGAAGUUGACCCAAGCAUCAUGCCAAAGAAGAGGCUCCGUACUUACGCCAUGAUCAUGACCAAGGAACUUUCAUGAAGAAGUUUCUUAACGUUACAUUGUAAUGCACUAAAUAUGCUUCACCUUUAUGUAAAGUUACAUUGUAAAGUUCUAUGAUUUCAUGUACUACUUGAUACAAUUUUUAAUUUAAUGUAUCUAUGAUUUCAUGUGUGUUUAAAUUAGGUGAGGUGAAGAAUUAUUCAAGAUAUGUUUUUUGAUAUAUUUUUGCAUGUUUGAAAAAUAUAAAGUUUUUAUGUUUUUCUAUAACAAAGCCAGUUCAAAACAUAUAUUAAUUUGUAUGUUUAAAUUAGUUGAGGUAAAGAUUUAUUCGAUCAAUAUGAACAAUGUUAACCACAUACAUCAAUUGAAUUUUUCACACGUUGAAAUUAUUUAAUUGAAUAAUUUCUUGAUGAUAGUGAUGUAGUAAAAUAAUUAUUUUAUAAACUAAAAGAACUAGUAUAGAAUUAAUGACUCAUUCAAACUUAUUGUUAAUAUACUUGCUAAUUUAAUAUAGUUUUGCAUGUUCCAAAUAUAUAAAGUUCUUAUUUUUUCCUUCCUAAAAUCCAGUGAAAACAUAUAUAAAAUCUAUUUGCAAAAAACAGGCGAGAACUGAAAAAUGGAAAACGAAUCUUUUGUCCUAGAUGCAAAUUGCAUCUAGGACAAAAUGUCCCCCCUUUAGGCCCGGUUGCAAUUUGCAACUAGGAUAAAAGGGUAAUUUUCGCCUCCCACGCGAACGUACCCUUUUGUCCUGGUUGUAAAUUGCAACCGGGACUAAAGGGGGGGCCUUUUGUCCGGUUGCAAUUGGCACCCAGGACAAAAGGACCCUUUAGUCCAGGUUGCAAUUUGCAACCGGGAUAAAAAGGGUCGUAAAAGUAACAUUCAUCUUCUCCCCCCUCCACCCUUCAACACUUAGCGAAAUUUUCACCACUCUCCAAGAUCUACCGCGCCCGUCCGCCUCUGAUGCCGCCAGUCUCUCAUCCCCGCCCGUCCGCCUCCAUCGCCGGCCGCCGUGCUACUCAUCACCCGCCUCCAUCCCACCGUCGCCCAGCGCCUCGGCCGCUGUCGCCUGCGCCACGACUGCCGCCUCCUCCAUCGCCCGACCCGCCACCGCCUCCUCCGUCGCACCCUCUCGUCGCCGCCGCCUCCGGUGCGCCCCCUCAUUGUCACCUCCCUCUGCGCCGCCUCUGUGGUGAAACCGCCCAACUUAAGCUGGUUUAAGUGCACCUAAUCGCUGUCGGGACAACAAUUAUUCGAAACACACCUAAAACAGCAUAAGUCCAGUAGUCCGUCGAGUGUCCCUAGGACUCCUCGAAAGAUCCACGACGUGUCUCAUAGCCAUACACCAGGAUCGCUUCCUCGAUGGGAAGGCAUCAACAAACAUUACAUUUUUACAUACAUACCGGGGUACGAAUUAUUACAUACCAUAGUUUGAAACAAACUUCAUAGUGCAGGUUAGCGCGGUUCUAAGAGUUCAAAACAUGAACCAGUCUAGGUGAAAGAUAAACAUUUAAGUUUUAUUUCUAGGGUAUUUCGAGACUCGUAAAAUACCCUAGUUCUUCGGAGCUUCUUCCUCAGCGGACUCCUGUUGUGGCUCUGAAAUAGCAACGAGGGAUAACCCUGAGUAUAGGGUACUCAGCAAGACUAACCCGACUAACCAAUAUAAUAGCUUUUCUGGAAUUGCAUGAAAGCCUUUCAGUGUACUGGCUGACUCAUAGUUUUGCCAAAAGAGCUUACUAAAGUGAAACCUUAACUUUGUCUUUUACUUCAAUUGAGUUAUUACCUAUCCAAUCUAGAUAAUGAAAAAGAAAUACUUUUGCAAACAGUAGGAAAUUAAGUCAUACAACAAAUUAAUUGGAAAGACAUUGCAUUCAUGAGAUUACACUACGAUGCUUAACAGCGAUCUAGUGCAUUCAUAACCGAGAAUUGUGGCGAUCCGGAUCAAUUACAUCCUGUAGGAGAGCACCCUGAUCACCAGCUAUGUACAACUGUCCGGGUCGUACAUAACGACCUUUCGAUUAGCAUACCCAAAGAUUGGGAAUAAGACUACCCGAACCCAGGGAUGCACCCCCACAUGGGACCCCCUGUCUGGCCCGAUCUCCAUGUGAGUUUUUAGGCUAUGCCCCUGCCAAUCUCCAGCACGUCAAGCACGGGUACGAAAUAUUCCGGAUCAGAGAGUUUACUAAACUACCGGGCUUUACUGGUCCCAUACCCAGUAAGCAACCAGGUGACAUUCACUUGAUCAAAGGUUAAGACAACGAUCGGGCCUUAACCAAAUUAAUCUAGCAGACAGAACUAACAUCUCUAGCUUCUAUCGGAUUUCCAAAUUUCCAAGCUAACUUUCCAUAUCUAGCAUGUAUGACCCAACAAUUUACCUUAAGGUUCGGUAACCAAGUUACUUUCAGUAUCUAAGCAUUGCUAAAGCAUGGGUUAAUUACUAAUUAUUGAACAAGUGGCAAAGAUGUCCUUAAAACAAGGCAGGAUCAUGCACAAGAAUAGGUUUCAAUCAACUCCUAGACUUAAUGCAUUGAUAAAAGAAAUAACCAAUAAUUGAACACAUGAAAUAAUAACUCCAAAACAGAUAGGUAUAGAUGCACCGGGGUUUGCCUGGGAUCAACAAAUGUUAGUUCUUCGGAAAACCCCUUUAGUAAAAGAGGCACUUCAACAUUUCUCGGACUCUGUCAAUCUUCAGAUGAAUUCCACGAAUUCCACUUCAGAAGCUUCGAUGUCUAUGAUUUAGUACAUGCAGGAGUUAGAGACGCAAACUUUUGAAUACAUGACUAUACAACUUUCCUUCAUGAUAAAGUUGCAAGCCAACAAGUGACUAUACAACCUAUCUUCACAAUAAAGUUGCAAGCCAACACUAAUCUACCCAUAACAUCUAACCCACGAUUUUUUAAUCUCUUAACUAACCUGCCUUAAGCCCUUUCUUUUAUUUUAGAAAAGCAUUACAAAUAUUUUCUAAUCUCAAAAGUUAUUUCCUAUGAUUUAAUAAUAAUUUGUGAAUAAGAAAACAUUAUUCAAUAUUUUAUGCAUUUAAUAAAGGUUAAGCAUUUAUUUAAAUACCUUAAUGAAAAGGCAUUAAAUAAAUACCUAAAUUUUAUUAUUUUUCCUAGGGUAUAAAAAUUUGAAUGCAUAAAGGAAAAUAAAAUAAUCCUAACAAAAUUGGUCUCACUAAUUUUGGACACUCCUAGAAAUUUCUGUGAUUUAAACGGUGUAAACCGAAUUUUAAUGUUCUUUAUCUAUAAAAGGAAAACCUAAUGUUUAUCCAAAUAACCCCGGCCUAACCUUUCUCACUCGUACUAGGCCCGUUAAGCUGGCCCACCUACUCCCGGUCUCUACCUUAUUCUACUCGCCGGCCCAACGAGCGCCCAAACUCUAACGAGCCUCCUUACGACCGGCCUGCUCUCCGCACAGGCCAACAGCCCAACUUCCUCCUCCCUACCCAUGCCUGACGCAAGGGCCUUUUUUUUUUGGGGCCAGCCCACCCCGUUUCUUUCCCCCUUCACUUCCACCUGGGCCUCCAACCGACAAGCCCCUCUCCUCCUCUCAACUCCCCUGGCGCAUAGGCCAGAACAGGGGCGCGACAGGCAGGGGGCGGGGCUCGCCGACGGUGCCUCCCCGGCGGCGUGGCCGGGCUGGGGGCAUCCUGAAACCGGGGCGCACCCACGGGCGGUGGCGGCCCUCCAGGAGGCGGCCUGUGCCGAGCCCUCCACGGUGGCGGCGGCAAAGGCCGGCUGCCGGCCGGCGCAAAGCCCGACGGUGGCGCAAAAACGGCCUUCGGUGCCCCCCCCUAUGGACCCUAUUCGACUCAGCAAGCUCUGCAACCCAAGGAAUCGAGCAAAAGGGGCAUCACAGAGAGGCUCACCAAAGAACUAUGGUGGCGGCUGGCGGAUUAAAAUGGUGGCGAUUCGGAGCUUUGACGAUGAGGAAACAGAAAUCGGAGGGGCGUGGGCGUUGCGGUGGGGCUAGCGAAGCGUCUGGCGGGCGGAUUCGCGAAGAGAAGUGACGGAGCGAGGGUGUUGGCCAGCGGCGGCGUUGCUUUCCCGAGCUUUGGCUCGCAUGGCAGUAGAAAUGGCAAAGGGUUAAAUGGGAUGAGGGUGAGGUGGUAAAGAUACAUAACUUUUACCGUGCAUGUGUGCCACCUCGAUGACCUGCAGGCCUGCGUGGGCGCGGACGUGGUUGUUGCGCUGGUCGACGAGCAGAGGUGCCGGCGGCGGCACGGCUCUGUCCCCUAUUUCUUCUUUCUCUUCUUCGAAAUUCAGACCUCCACAUCGACCAAUUUCAAAUCCAAUCUCUCGAAGAUCCCUUCAGCAGUCUUGUAGAGUAAUCCAUGUACUUCAAUUGAUAGAUUGGCCGCUACCUGAAAUGAGCACCCUAACACCGAGAUUUUGAAGCUCAAAGUUUGACCAGAACCUUCUGUAACUGAACCUCGGUCAUUCAGUCUCGUCAAGGUCCAAAAUAGCAACUUCUUCCCUACUUUGAGCUCAAUUUAAAUUGCUUAAACUCCUUCCAUACAGCUUGAACCUUGCCUAUCCUUGUUCUACUACUGUUGGUGCUAGAAAUCGGCUGAUCGAAUUCCCAGCGUCGGACACACGACCCGGGAGAAUCUGCUUAGCUCCUGUUCGAGUGAUCACCCUGGUGCGGUUCGUGCAGCGUGCCAGCCAAUCUGACCUGUUGAUUGGCAAGGAAAGAAACGUGUCAGAUCCCAGAGGUUGCGAUCGGCUAAGGUUCCGAUCUCGAGAUAGCUUAUCAGUGAAUCGGCCGAUUUGCUGUAAUAAGGAAAUCGGCUAUAAUGCAGCCGAUUACCGGGCAGCGUUAAUAAAGAAGACUGCUGGAGUAAUCUAAACAAUGCUUAUAGUAACAACACUAGGAAUAGAUCUAAAUCGGCUAUGCGUAAAAUAAUAGAUUGAAUAACAAGGCACAGGAAAGCCGAAAGUUCCAAUUCCUAGCUGGAUAACUGGUGAUAAAACUAGAACUACAGGUAAAACCUAGAAUUCUAGUGGAUAUCGAUAACUGGUGAAUAAAUCUAAAUGAAACGACAGCGAUGCGCCCGAAGUUAAAGCUUAGAUAUUACUCGGUAAACGAAACUUACAGAAUCAGCCGGAGGUCAAGUUGAUGCAGCCUAGCCAACUCGUAUGAACUCGUGAAAAAGAAGAAAAGUAUUGGCGAAAUCGCCUGCUUGAAAGUAAGUGUGAGGAAAUAGUAGUUUGUUGUAUUGAUUUGAUGAUGAUUACAGAUCUACAAGGGUGGCUAUUUAUAGCCUGUUACAAAUGACUUCUUAACCGACUAGAACUCUAUCUCUAAUUUUAAACAAAAAAUGAAUAUUUACAAGUACGACUCGUACUGGGUCAAUCAUCAUGCUGUCAUGGGCUGACUCCCUUUUUACCUUCAUAAUCCACUUCAAGCCCACACCGGCCCAAUUCCUCCAGCCUCCUAAUCGGCCGAUUUCUACCAACUCCAUCGGCAAGGGACAGCCGAUUACGGCCCACAUGUCGGGGGUUCUGACUACUCCGACCCUGGGACCUAAGGUCGGGCGAGGUGGAGUCCCUCCCUUAGAGGGUCGGGCGCAUCCGACCCCAGGACUCAGGGGUCGGGCGAGGCGGAGUUGCACCCUUAAAGGGCAAUUGGCCAAUCCUUGACUGUAGCACCAAUCGGCCGAUUUCCAACCGUGACCUCUGUGUCUUGCCGCAUCUCCUGAGUUCUUCCUUUCCUGACGCCGAUUUCAUACGUGUCAAAAUAUGGCGUCAACAACUACUAACAAAGAUUCCAUUUUGCGCAUGAACUCAUAUACCUUUUACAUUGGAUUUUUCUUAAAUUUGCUCCAAACAUUGCUAAUCAAUGCCGUUUUUCAGACAACAUUAUUUCGGCAAGAAGCCUGAAAUCUGUGCAUUUGCUGAAUUUUGGGCUUCGCUUUAAAUUCGAACCUUCCACUUUCUCUGGCCAACAACAUUUCAUUUACCUUCUCUAUAGUCCAUAUUUCACUAAUGUCCAAAAACAUCUGCUCACUUACAAGAACAAUUCUCCAGAAAUUGGCUCCAAAGUUGUGUACUCAAUAUUAAUUUCAGAGUUACGCGUUUUCGGAUGACUAAGUGACUUUGUUGAUUCCAUAUUCGAUUGUAUUUAUGAGAGCUUUAUAACUUGAUUUAGACUUCAGAUUCAUUCCUUUGAGUUCUGAAUACUCUCAAGACUCUAUUUCCUAUUUUUGCCAAAUUUAUCCAAAUUUGAAACUCCAAAUUGCAAAUUUGGUUGAACUCGGCUCAAAUUCGAUUUUGGCUCAAAUUACCUUCCUUUAAUCCAACUUCACCAUUAGCUUCUUAAUGUGAUACUUAAGUUGUCAUUAACACUGGGUGUUACAGCCUCCUUGUCGCCCACCUCCGUCCCCGCCGCCUCCGUGCCCGCCAUCGCCCGCCGCUCUAGCCGCCGUUGCCUGCCGCCCUGGCCUACCGCCACCUCCUCCGUCGCGCCCCCUCAUUGCCACCUCCCUCUGCGCUGCCUCCUCAUCGCCGCCUCUCCAUCGCCACCUCCGUCGUCUGUGCCAGCUCCGACCCCGCUGCCACCGGCAUGCGCCGCCCCGACCUCCUCGUCUUCUGCAUUGCCACUCCAUCGCCCCGUCCGCCGUAGCUCGCCGCCAAGCCUCUGCCACCUGCCACCCCGGUGACGUGCGGCGCCACCCCCAUCGCGACCCCCGGCCCUCUCCACACGUACAAUGGGGCCCUUGCUGACGCUAGGGCCCUUUUUUAUUUUUUUAGUUAGAAAAUCAGUAUGAUUAGUACAAAAUCAGUAGGAAAUUACUAUUAUUAGAUGAAAAUCAGUAGGAAAUUACAAUAAUUUAGUUCAGAUGCUUAGUAUAAUUUUGUAUACAUUUUGUAUAACUUUGAGAAAUUACUACCUUUUAUUAUAAAUGAUUCGAAAAUUAGUAGAAAUUUGUAGCAAUGCUUAAGAUUUAUUCAGGAUAAGUUCUUAGUAUGAUUUUGUACACAUUUAGUAUAAUUUUUAGUACAUUAAUAUUAUUUAGUACAAAUGCUUCAAAAAUUAGUAAAAAUUAGUAGAAAUUUGGUAGAAAUUCUUAGAAAUCAGUAGAAGUUUGUAGAAAUUUGGUAGACAUUCUUAGAAAUCAUUAGAAAUUUGUAGAUACACUUCAAAUUUGGUACAAAUUCUUAGAAAUUAGUAGAAAUUUGAAGAAACACUUCAAAUUUGGUAGAAUUGCUUAAAAUUAGUAGGAAUUAGUAGAAAUUUGGUAGAAAUUCUUAGAAAUUAGUAGAAACACUUCAUGUAGGAUUCGUUCAAGACAUUUCAUGUAAGUUUCAUUCAAGACUUUCAUGUAACUUUCUUGUAAGUUUUCAUGUAAGUUUCAUUAAAGACAUUUCAUGUAUGUUUCAUUCAAGAUAUUCAUGUAAAUUUCUUGUAGGUUUUCAUGUAAGUUUCAUUAAAGACAUUUUAUGUAAGUUUCAUUCAAGACAUUCAUGUAAAUUUCUUGUAAGUUUCAUGUAAGUUUCAUUUCGUGUAUGGUUUCAUGUGUAGAUUUCAAUCAGUUUGUUUUUUUUUCAUGGUUGUUCUAUGAUUUCAUGUAUAUACCUUAACGUACAUGUAACUAUGAUUUCAUGUGUGUUUAACGUAGUUGAGAUGGCAGACGACAAGACCGCAAGCUAUCUAAUGGAGCAGAUUAUUGCUGAUGGUAGUGGCUCCAACCUUCCCGUAACGUACAUCGAUAAAGAGGGUACCUAGGCGAACAUGUUCCUCAACAUGUCUAGCGAUGGCAAUGAAGAGCCUCAGCCCUAGCAAAACCUUAUCGUGAUGGAAGGUUCCAGCGAGGUAUAUAUCAUUUCCAUUGUUUUACCCCAUCUAUAAUGUCUUAUUCAUUAUUAUUAUAUACUAAUUAACGAAUCUUGAACUGUUAGCCCUCUGGAUCGAUGAACCGUCAUAAGCCCCGAGGCCGUACAAAGGUGAUGGAUGGAGGGCUUAUCAUCAUGGAAGUCACAGAAGAGGGCAAGCCGGUUGCUCCCGAAAACAUGGCAAAAAAGUACGUGAGCCAGAUCGAGGCAAUCGUAAGGGACAACGUGCCCAUCAACAUCAUGGAAUGGAGGGGUGAAAGUACUAAUGCAUACGCGCUCUCGGAUACAGAAAAGGAAAUGUUGUGGUUAGAUGUUAAGAAACAUUUCACAUUUUCCCGAAGGAUGUAAUGAAGAUUAUGUGAAAUCGUGGAUGCUGAAGAAGAUGGCCACACAAGAAGGGCUGAUGUCCACAAUUCAAUGAGUGGUGAGGGACCACUGGGAGUCAUUUGUUGAAUACAAGACGAGCGAAACGGUGCGAACAAGGUUCGCACCAACUUUGUAAAUGCUGGCAAGAAGGAGUACCAUCAUUGUCUAGGGCGAGGUGGUUACAACACUACAAUUUCUAGAUGGCGCAAGAUGGAACAAGACCUGAUUGAUUGGGGUAUCCUACCAGCAACUCUUGAAUAUCCUGAUCGAUCGAAAAAUUGGUAUUACGCUCAUGGAGGCAACAUGAGCCAAGAGGAUGGGACACUGAUCUUCAAUGAGACAAUAUGUCAGAAGGCCAAAAGGCUUAUCAAGAACAUUGAAGAUGACACGGCUGGGAGUUGAAGGUGGACCGAGAGAAUAAUGAGCUAACAUUGGCCCAAGAAUCCCGAGCACCUAGGAUAUUGCCGAGGGUACGGGGUCAUUCUGUGGAAGUUCGCUUUUCGAGGCGACAUGUACUCAUACAGAAGCCGCAAGCGAAGAAAGGAAUAGCAAGAGGAGAGCUGGCGGCGCAUGUUAGAAUCCAAAGUGCAUUCACAUGAAGUAAGAAUGCAGGAGGAAAUCAAUCAUCGAGUGGCCCUAGCAGUUGCGAAGUUGGCCCAAUCUAGAGCACUACCGGAUCCAAACGUUAGAUGAGCAACGGUUCUUUGUGGCUGUGAUCACGCAACGCACCUCAUGUGAAUGGCAUAAACUGGUCGGCAACGUCACCAUUAAGGUAUACUUAUACAUAAUAAUUAUGCAAUCUUCUCAAUCCAUCCACGCCUCGGGAGUUUAAUAACUUCUUUAUUUCUACUAUAUGUACAAGUGGCAUACGAGAGUGCCUUACCAAUCCUGCCAGGGUAGACAAGCGAUGCCAUGGAGGUUCUACCUGGCUACGCUAGCGUCAGCCUAGAGCUGCUCGUUGAUAGCCAAUAUGAAGGCCUAGAGCUCGACCUCCCGGGAGGCGAUAGGGAAAGGACACUAGGAGAUGCGCUUCACGGGAUCAUUCUAUGGUGCAAAUGUUACAUCAUCAUCCCCGGCAUGGAGGCAUCAUUGCUCCCCGUAGAUCCCCAGCAGCGACCAUCUCCUCAAAGCUCAAGAUCGUCAUCUCCAACACGGCCUUCUCCAGGACCGUCAUCUCCACCACAACUUGCUCCAGAACCAUCAUCUCCAGCACAACCAGCUCCAGGACUGUCGUCACCACCGGGACCGUCUCUUCCUGCUCGAUCACGGUCUCCAUCUCCAGCACAUCCUAGUGGUGCGAGCGACGAUGACAAUAACACCCCUUCCCAAUCACCAUCUCCAGGACUAAGAGCUGCAUCGAGCAAGGAACCUGUAGCAACACUUAAGAAGUCGCAACCACCGCCUCCCAAGCCAAGACAGAGAAAGAAGAAAACAAACGAGCCUGAAUUGACUCCUGACAAAUGUAGGGAGGAGAAAAUGCAUGAGGAUUGCUGGCCCAAACCAAAGCAGAAUGCAGGGAGCGGUUCAAGAAAAUGGCCGAAGAAAGAAAAGCAAAGGCGAUGGAGCCACCGCCAGUAGAUUGAAGACAAUUAAAUUUUUUUAUAAAGAUGUCAGAAGAAGCCAAGAAGAUGCUGCCACCUUAAACUACGAUCGGGUGUUAGUCAAGGCUGAUGAGAGGAAAAAAUGGAAAGGAAAGUCGUCUUCAAGGGGUACUAUCCUCCACCUUAGACAUCUACCGAAAAAGACUCUCAAAAGAAAGCAUCAAUGCUAGCAAUGCCCUUGGAUCAAUAAGACCAAGUAGUGAAAUUCAUACAAGAAACAGGAAUGUCCUUUUCUGAAUGUCUAGGGCAAAGUGAGCCACCAGCUGCAUAGCCAGUUGAACCGAAAUGGACCUUUUGAGCUAGGCAAGUCUCUGGUAAGGCCUGAGUUGAUAUGGAAACUAUCAACAAAGAUGUACAAAUUCCAUGAAUGGUACAUCAAGCAGUCCAUCGUUGACAGGGAAAUAUUCGACCUUAAGGUCAAACCAAUAGCCUGGUUGACGUCUCUCUCAUCAGCGCUUGGGCUCUGCAAGUGUUCGUUUAUCUAUGUGUAAAUUUUGGCUCAUAUCAUUAUUUUUUGUGCAUGCAUCGCCCUGCUAACUUCGUCUUCCAUUUUAUGUAGGAUGCUAAUUCAGAUGUGCUGACGAGAAGUGUACUUCCAUGUUGGCUUCAUGGAUCCAUCCCUAGUUAACCAACACAAGAUAUGGGAUUUUCCAGAGAAAACGUUGAUGGAAGUAUACAAUUUCCUGGACAAACAAAAUUACAGCAAGGAAUACAUCCUACUUCUAUACAACUUCAAGUAAGUGUGUGUAUACCAUCUAUUUUUAUUUUCUUUUUCCUUACCUGAUUAAUGUUAGUUAGCUCUAAUAUGAACAAUUACGUACGCAGUUUCCACUGGAUCCUCCUAAUAAUUGAGCCUGAUAGAAGCCACAUCACUGUCUUCGAUUCAUUGAGGAAACCACCGAAGGAGUACCAAGAUGUUCAAGACAUGCUAAACUUAAUAAUUCUGGACUUUAUCUCUGUGCAAAAGUUUGUUUCCUAAAUUUUCACCUAACACUGUAUCAUUCAUUAACACAAAGGUCCAUUCAAAGAAAAACUUACAUGGAACACAAACUUCCUGGCAUGUAUGAAGUUUGCAUAUUUUGUACAUUAUAUAGCAUGAAUAUUUCAUAACUUGUUUUUCCCCACUGUAGUGCUUAAGACAGGAACUCAAAAAUAAUCUAUGUGGCUACUAUGUCUGUGAGCACAUGCAUAGUUUUUUGGGACACAAGGUACUAAAGAUGACGCCGCACAACUAUAACGUACGUAAAAGAAAACUAUUAAUAGUUAAAUAUUUUCUAGCUCCUUAUAUUUAAUUGUUCGUGUAACAUUCACAUAUUUCCAGAUUACAGAUGCAUAAUAUUCAACAAAAACUCUUGGAGAAGGAAAGAAUAAUGGCAAUAUAUGAAGGUCUCAUGGGAUUCCUGGUGGACGAGGGGGUACAUCAACAAGGAGAAUUUUAUUACAAUGGACGAAAAUUAGACGCACUGAGCAACACCACGACGGGAAGAUCCAAGGAAUGACUGAGGCAAAUUUUUGUAUAUAUAUAUAUACUAAUUGUAUAAAUACUAUGCUAAGAUUUGUAUAGUAUGCUAAGAAUUGUAUAUAUACUAAGAAUUGUAUAUAUAGUAAUUGUAUAAAUACUAGUUUGAUUUCAUAAUAAAAAAAGUCUUAACUAAACUAAAGGGUACGUGAUGCAUGAAAUUACAGGUGCCUGCCUGCAUGGCGCCUGUAAUUUCAUGCAUGCACUUUAGUCCCGGUAGAAAAAACCAACCGGGACUAAAGGGAGCACCCUUUACUCCCGGUUGGUAAAACCAAUGAGGACUAAAGGGGCCUGUCCCGCGCCUGGCGUGGCAGCCCCUUUAGUCCUGGUUGGUUUUACCAACCAGGAUUAAAGGGUGUCUUUAGUCCCAGUUGAGUGACCCGAGACUAAAGACCCCCCAUUCGUCUUGAUUGCUUUAUCCCGGAUGGAUUUUCGGGAAAUUUUAUCCCUACCAACCAGGACUAAAGGUGAGUUUUCUACCGGUGCCUGUUCUAUCUCACUCAUUUGUCCUGUAGCUACAAGCUAAGGCCCCAUGUCAUCUAUGGCUUCUGUCCUGUAGCUACUAGCUAAGCCCCCGUAUCAUCCAUGGCUUCUGGUGCCUCCACCACACUGAAGAUGGCCUCUAUCGCCCCUUGCAUCCUGCUGGUCCUGCUGUCCAAUGGCCACCCUACGAUGGUGGCCGUUGAUUGUGUUGCGGUUUGCAAAGACCCGUGCCAGAGCUUUUCUAACGGGUUCUGCGCGGGUGGAGCCACUGGCGGUUGCACAACUACGGCAGCAGCUACAGCAUGCCGCAAUUUGGCGUUCUCGCAGUGUGCGAACAACUGCUUCAUAGUUUGCACUGCCGAGAUCAUCACGCCUUGCACUUGAAGAUGCAUUUGUGUUCCUACUUCCAUGUUAUUGUUACUGCAGAAUAAUAUGGAUAAAUACGUGCAAGCAGGCCUGCCGUCCGCGGGAGGAGGUACGCAAGCACGCAUGAUGAGCCACUGUUGUUUUUCCAUUUUAUCAUUUACUUAUUGAAGGCAAUGUACGUGCCUAUCUCCUGUGUGGUUGAGCAUGUCAUGUUGGAAUUCUGUCCAAAGUUUUACAUACCAUCUUGUAUUGUUGUGUAUGCGUAUCAAUAUAAUUUAUGAACUAUUUUCCUUUACCAUAGACAUUUCUAUGUUUAUUUGCAAGCACUACUAGAGAACUGACUUUAGAUCCCACCCCCUUUAGUCUCGGUUUAAUUUCGGACCAGGAGAAAACGGGGUGCGCCACGGUAGGCUAGAAUGGGGUGCACCUUUACUCUCUAUUCUUUUUUUGCAACCGGGACUACAGGCCACCCUUUAGUCUCAGUUAAAACGGCUAGUUAUUGGGCACCGACGGCGUCACCCUUUACCCCCGGUUGGAGCCACCAACUAGGACAAAAGAUCCAACCUUUUGUCCCGGUUGGAAAAUCCAACCGGGAUAACAGGUUUACUCCCAGUUGGUAAUUCCAACCGGGACAAAAGGUUGGAGCUUUUGUCCCGGUUGGUGUUACGAACCGGGAGUAAACACCAACCGGGAGUAAAGCUCUAAUCUUUUGUUCCAGUUGGAUUUACCAACCGGGGUAAAAUCUUAUCUACAAGAGGCCUUUCUUCCUCCUCCACUCCUCCAGCCCGAGCCACUCCACUCCACAAAGACAGAGAACCUCAUCCUCUCCAUGGCGCCGAAGCAAGCCUAGGGGAGGUGCUGCUGAAAUUUUUUUUCCUUAUUUCCGUGGGGAUUUCAUUCAUCCAAAGUGUUGUGAAGGUUAGCUACUUCAUGCUCCGUUCAUUUAUUGUUGUUAAGCUUUGUUUUAUACUUUAAAGAGGGAGAAAAAUGAGUUUGUUUAUUGUUAAGCAUGUAGAGGAUUUGUAUUUAUACAUGUUUUUGAGCUACAAUGUGAUGGAUAGUUUGAAUGUGAGGGAGAAUGGACAGUAAAUGUGAGGUAGAAUUGAGAUUAUUUCAAUUUUAUGUAUUAGGGAAAAAUUAGAGCAAAUGUGUUUUUAAUACUUAUAAAUUAGCCAUAUAAAUUGUAGGUGUAAUUUCAUACUUUAGUACUUUUCAAAUAGAGGUAUGCAAUUUGCCAUUUUUAGAAUAAGUACAUUAUGUGGGAAAUAUUGAAUUUUUUAAUAGUUUAGUUAUUUCUAAAUUAAAUAUGAGCUAAAUAAUUUGUGUAUUUCUAUGUAAACUUUCAGCAAUAUUUGAGUUUGUCGUAGUGUAUCAUGUUGUUUGCUUCUGAAAUUUUAAUUUGUGUAUUUCUAUCUAAAAUUUUAGCAAUGUGAUGGAUAGUUUUAUUGUAAUACAUUUUAUUGAUGGCUUGCGUAAUACGAUGCAGAUGGACCAGCAAUGGAUGUAUAACGCGGACAGGCAGAGCAAGGUGUUUAUUGCUGGCAUGAAUAAUUUUCUUGAAGUGGCCAAAGCGAACAAACCAGGGAACGGGUUCAUAUCUUGUCCAUGUGCCCAAUGCAGUAACCAGAAGUGCUAUUCAAAGGCUUCCUAGGGGACUAUUCAUAGCCACUUGUUUAGAUACGGUUUCACGCCUAACUAUUUGGUUUGGACCCGUCACGGUGAAAGAGGGGUUGUAAUGGAAGAUGGUGAAGAGGAGGAGGAUGAUGACAACAUUCCGAACUGCGCUACAGUCUAAUCUUUUGUAGAUACUACUGUGGCGGAUCCACUUCGGAUCUACUGGGUUAAACAUGAUUUAGCCGCCUGAUAUGCGACGCUCAUGCCUAAGCUGAGUAAACACGAAGUGCCAUCGGAUUUUACUCCGAUUUAACCACUUGAACAGGACCGGUUUAGCAGACUCACACGAAGGUGAGCGGUUCCAGAGAGUACAACGAGUCCACCAAGUUAACAAAUUAACCACUGGAUUUAGUUACGAAAAGGACGUCAGAGUUUUACAAGAUUUCGGAAAACAACAGAAAGUAAAACACUAGCAGAAGCAUUCGUCGGGGUCGGAUGUCCUGGUGAGGCCGGCUGGGACAUCACUGAUCCCUCUCCUCGCCGUCCGAGGAGGGAUCCCACUCGACCGUCCAGCCCGGCGGGAGCUGGGGCAGCCAAGCGCCAGCAAGAGAGGGGUCGGGAGCAGCAGCUUCACCUGAAAAACAGGAGCCACAACAAGGCUGAGCUACUAAGCUCAACAAGACUUAACCGAUAGGAGUAAAACUACUCCUCCUAGACAUGCAGGGCUUUUUUGGCUGAGGGGUUUGGUUGCCGAAAGCUCUAAUUGAAAACCCUAUUUUCAAGUUUUAGCUCCGGUUCUAGGUUCAUUUACCAGUCUAGGUUUUGCAACCUAUUCUAAGCAAUCGUGGAACCAAACAAGAUGUGUAGAUAUAUCAACAAACAUGUCAUCAUCAGAUUCCUCAUUUACUCAGGGUGACAUAGCGAUCAAGCAAUCUCAAACUGUGAGAGGCAGACGAAUCGAUUCGAGUUCUUUAACCAUGCAUGGUGAACCUAGCCUCAUGACAUCCACGUACCCGGAGGUCGCUUCCUGUGUCGGCCUUCCCCAUCAAUCCCCUAACCCGUGUCGGGCCUAUUUCCUUUGGUGCAAGGUUCCACAGACCCGGCCUCUGCCGUUCUGGGGCCACGCAUGCCACCACGUGCGACAUCCAGCAGGGGAAACUCCGUUCCAAGAAUAAUGGGGCGACCGCUCACGUCUAGGUUCAAUCCGGUACUAGGCUUCCUCAUCCCAUACUAAGUAUGAGGCUAGUACUUUCAAACACUUGAUCACGAACACCACCACUGUCGGACCUUAGCAAGUUUUUCAUAGACAGACGGGGCAACCAUCCGUCCACCAAAGAGUUACCCAAACCCUGCCCCAUCCAUCGUCCUUAUAGUUGUAACAGAAAGGUAGACAUCCAACUCCUACAACUCGCGAGUGACAGGGAAUCACUCGACUUUUACCGUCUCCUAGUUAAGCAAUGCAACUACUCGGUCUAACAGCUAGUGCUCACAUCAUGGGGAUAACUAAGCCAUGUGUCUAGGGUUUCAAACAACUCCUAUACGUAAAUGCACAAACAUAUUACAGAAGGCAUGCGCAAGUUUGGUAAAACACACAGGGUUUUCAUGCAACUGGGGCUUGCCUUCGAGCAAGGAGGAAGAGAACUGCUCGAUUUCUAGGACGGCUUCGGCUUCAGCGGGCAAGAACUCAGCUACAGCUUCAUCUUCUGGCGCCGGGUGCAGCUCGUAGAAGCUGUCGGCGAGGCGCAGCUCUACACGAAUGCAAUGCAAGAGUUAGCAUAGAUGGUUAUUUCAACAGCAACACUUGCUCGCCUGAGCCCAGAAACUCGCGACAAAGAGCAGGGGGGUUGGGGAGGUUCAAGAGAGCGGGUGAGGAUCAAGAGGCAAGGGUCGGAAAGGAAACUUAGGAUCUGAUCCUUGAACUAGAGGAUGCGGUAUACUAGGGAUCCUCAGACGCAAGCGCUGAAGGGUUCCUAAGUUUUUGCACAUACACCCUCGGGUUGAAGAAAAGAUCACAGCCGAGCCCUUGGGCAAGGCGGAUAAGGGUCGGCGGGACAGAUAGGGUCGGGCGAGACGGAACCGGGGUCGGGCGGAUAAGAGGGGUCGGGCGAAGCGGACUGGGGUCGGUAGCUUACCUUCUUCCUGAAAGGAAGGCUUGGGGUCGGGAAGAGGCAGACUUGGGCGGAGGGACUAAAGCUUUGAACACGGCUAAGACUGGCAGUGCUCCGGCGGCGGCGGUGCUUCUUGCAGAUCACAAGAGAGCUUUUGCGCAGCACGGAGGAGCAAGCUGCUGGGUGACUUGGGGAAACUGAGGGGAGCUGAGGGGAGGGUUCCUCAAGAACAUAUGUCACUUUAGUAUUAGGCAAGGAUGUGAUUAUAUGAUUAUAUGGACUGAUACCGGUUAAAAGAUCAUUAUCUAAUCAACCAUUCACGUCGCCCAUAGUGUAGGCAACAGGCCAUUCUAUUGCGAUCCUCUGUCGCCUAUCGCUUCCCUUGAGAAUUUGAAGUCAGAAAUUCUUUUGUUUCAAUUUUGCUAGGUCCACUAGUUUUCUUAAAUCAGAAUCAAGUUGAAACCAGAAGAGCCUUGUUAGCUUGUUUGAUCUAUACUUCGUUGUAGCAAAUGUAAAAUGACAACUCAUAUAAUGGUUGUUUCAUAUUCGAUCUGCAAGUCUUCUUCUCAUUCACACGAUGGAUGGCCAUAGGCACAAAGAGAAUCGAAGUAGUAGACCAUAAUCACUAUAGUAAAAGCUUAAAAUCUCAAAAUAUGUCAUCAUUUAUUUUUCAUUAUGUUAUCCAUAGAACUAUAGUAUGAGUUAGAAUAUUGCAUGGACAUCAGAUCAGCUACAACAUUUCCUAGCUUCGCCCUUCGCCGCCCCUGCAGCAGCUAGCCCAAUCCAGGAAAUGUAUUUCCCAGGUGGGGGUGAGCAGACCCUGGAAAUAAGCUGGGGACGGACCAGCACGUCAACCGUCUCUGAAAAUAGCCCAUUUCAGAGGUGGGCAACUCCAUGGUCCGUCCUAGCAGAUUGAAUUACAGGAGCAGACGACACGAAGCAUCACCCUGCUGCUCAACCAAAUUUUGUAUGGACAACGCGCAAAUGAAAAGGCAAGCGGAAAGCAUAAGGUCCAUUCUGCUCCGCACAUAUAUCUUAUCUCAACCACAGCUUUCCAUGUCAUCUCCUUAGAGAAACUCCGACAGAUUGAUUUUCCACAUUCCCCUUUAUCCUCUUAUAGGGCAUUCCCUUUCACGAUUUCUGAAUUUUGAAGACUAGUGGGGCAAGAAAUUUUGUAUAGUAACAAAGAUAAUCUCAGCCCCACUUGCUACACAUACAUGCACGGUAAAUAGAAAGGGUUAUUUUCUAUGUCAAAGGCAUGCUCAGCUUCAAAGUCGUUCUGUUGUUAGCAUCGUUGUGUUGUUUCUGCUAACGUGCAGGAGGAAGCGAAAACACAGAGUAGAAAGAGGAUGAGAAAUUAAAGAAGACAAUGAAGCUCACGUUCACGUCUACAUGAGGGAGCUCUCACACAAGCAAGUCCAUUCAUCCUCUGUCUCCAUGCUGUUGAUGAUGACAUGUCACAUGUCCUUUGCCUUGACGUCGGCGGCAGGCCGGCAGCCCAAUGAACCCAUGACGAACAGCAUGAGCAUGACCAGCUAACUUCAUUGCUGAGUACGACAUGUGGUUAUCCUUGCUAUAACUAAUGUUGGUCAGAAGAAGAAGCUGCUAUAAAGUUGUUCUGAAGACGCUGAGUUCUAGGCGUACGCAAGCCCCGGUUGAUUGCCUGCGAAGUUUGGAUCCUUCGUUUCCAGGAUUAAGCUGUAAAUCUCCGAUAGACUCUCUUUAUAUCUCUUUAUGUGAUACUGUUACUGUUAUUCACUGAUGAUGUGACUAUAUGUAUGAAACUUGAUCAUGUCAUACAUACAGUUAGCACUUGGUUUUGCUGUUCUAAAAUCAGAUGUGACACCUAUGAACCCAUGACGAACAGCAUGAGCGUAACCAGCUAACUUCAUUGCUGCUGCCUUUCGUAGAUGUUGGUGAACAUGACGUGUCUUUCAUCUCCACGAUGGCGACGGAUCCAAAGAUCGAAGAACAUGCAUCAACGCGAUCCGUAUGGCGUGUUUUCUGGUAUUUCCACCCCAUGAUGUAACGCCGACCGGGUUCCAUACGAGGCCUACGGCCAGUCUGUUCACUUUCAUCAUGUGCUCCGAUGAGAGUUCAUCACCGUGAUAAAAGACGGAGACGAGGGCACACAGUCGUAGCUGCAAGUAAGGCCAACAGGCUGAAGGCCAUGGCUUUACAGCCAGCAGUCCACCCUUGCAUGCACUCACGGACUAUUACCGAACUAGCAAUUGGUACUUUGACGCGCUACAUGGACCCUUACAAAAUUAAAAAAAUGAACGUCAACAAGCAAAUGAAACUGCAUGAACUGAAGUAGGGAAAUGAAGACCACGUACAGUUCUUAUUGAAGCUGAAAUGUAUGUCAUAAAAGUAUUAUUGUUAGAUUGAAGUCAAUUUAAAUAUUUAAACGAGUAACGAGGGCUCGGAUUAGUAGAAGGUGUUAGUAAGGCCCUCCAAUAGACCACUCAAUGAUUUUUAGAUCCAACUGUUUAUAUAGUAAGUUCGGAUAUUUAAUUAAUAAAUUGAAGUUGCCUUAAGAUAUGCAUAGUAAAUCACAAGACCAAAGUGGAAUAACCAUUAGACAACUAAUAAAACCAUCAUUAAGUUUUUGUCUACUUUUAGCAAUAUUGCUUAGGUUUUCUAUUUCGUCUAAAUAUAUCUUAAGCGGCUCAUAUGUCCAAAUUACCCACACAGUGAAUAAAUGUCGUUCCAGUUCAAGGAUUCAUGUGGAGUUGUCACACACUAGUGUGAACCCAUCAAGUGUGUGUCUUGCUUCCCUUUUCAAUCAACAAGCUACCUCCCUGAUUUGAAUAUAAUAAACUUAAAUGCUUCAGUUUCUAUGGUCCAUUGUUAUGUGAUGGACAUGAAAAAUGAAAAAUAUAGCCUACAAUGUUCAAAAUGCAUCUGAAGUACUAGGGUAUAAAAUAAGCUCACUGCCAUCCAAGUACAAGGGUUAACAACUAGAAAUAUAACCUUUAUUGCUAUCUGUAAACAAAAUAUGCCUGUUGAAUUACAUGUCGGGAAAGGUGAAUGCACGGAUUAACGGCUAGUAUUAGCUAAUUUUGUUGUCUUUUUUGUUAAUAACUAGGUUUCCAAUGCCAAACUCUGCGUAAGGGUUCAGCAACUGGCUACAUAUUGGAAAGGAGUUACUGUUGGUGGCUAGCCCUCAUAAGAGAUAACUAUUUCAUUCCUGAUGCCUUCCAUGCCUAUGGAUGUACCGCGUGCUCGAGUAAGCUAUGCUUGCAGAUGGAUCUUAAACCUGAUGUCAAAUUGUUUAUAAUUGAAAGAGUUUGCUGUUUGUCUGCUUUAGGGAAGAUGGGUAGCACGUUUAUAUGCCAUUAAUUCUCAUGAAAGAGUGCAUAUACCAUGUUUGUCGCAGCAAGAUGAGGCUGUAGAGUAGUAGAAGUGUAGAACAAUGGUACAGGUUGUAUGAAUAAUUUAUUGAAGGGAAUCAUAGACGCCACAGCCACUGAAGCUGUCGGGGCAUGAUUAGCCAAUGGUCUAAUUCCUGAUAUCUCCGUAUCCUAAUUUUCUGAAGCCUUACGGACUCUACCCUCCUCACUUCAUAUAUAUUAGUGUUUAUAAUAGCGGUUUUAUAAGAAGUGCUGAAGGUAUUGGUCCUGCUAUAUCUUGCUUCCACUACCGGAUUUGUGUACGAAAUAUUAAUUCUUGAGAUUUGUCAAUGAUUUUAGGAAGCAAUGAUACCUUCAACUACCGGAUUGCAUAUAUAAGUUAGUCUUAGCCAGUUAUAUAUCAGAGGAGGAAGCACGCAUUAAAUAAUAAAUAACUCAUGUUGAUUCAAUUGGUAACCUGGCCUCUAAAAAGAAAAGGACUCUGUGCUCAAAAAAUGAAAAAAAGUAGCCUGCUAAUAACAAUGUCGACACUUUACAUCUGAGCAGCUAGCUCCGUGAUGCUUUAUCUGGCUAGUGAACUACCUACCUAUGUUAUUUAAACAUUUUUGCUGCCUAUAAAUUGGGCAUCAUUUCAGCAGACCACCACAGCACCUGAGCUUGCCAUCUUUUCCUGUUCUAUCUCACUCAUUUGUCCUGUAGCUACUAGCUAAGCCACCAUAUCAUCCAUGGCUUCCGGUGCCUCCACCACGUUGAAGAUUGCCUCUAUCGCCGCUUGCAUCCUGCUGGUUCUGCUGUCCAAUGGCCACCCUACAGUGGCGACCGUUGAUUGUACUGCGGCUUGCAAAGAGCCGUGCGAGAGCUUUUCUAAGGGAUUCUGCGCGGGUGGAGCCACCAGCGGUUGUGCGACUAAGGCAGCAGCUACAGCAUGCCGCAAUUCGGCGUUCUCGCAGUGUGCGAACAACUGCUACACAGUUUGCACCGCCGGGACCAUCGCGCCUUGCGCUUGAAGAUGCAUUUGUGUUCCUACUUCCACAUUAUUGUUACUGGUGAGUGUGUGCAAGCAGGCCUGCCGUCCACGGGAGGAGGCACGCAAGCACGCAUGAUAAGCCACUGUCAUUUUUCCACUUUAUCAUUUACUUAUUGAAGGCAAUGUACGUGCCUAGCUCCUGUGUGGUUGAGCAUGUCAUCUUGGAAUUUUGUCCAAAGUUUAACAUACCAUGUUGUAUUGUUGUGUAUGGGUAUCAAUAUAAUUUAUCAACUAUUUUGCGUUUACCAUAGACAUUUCUAUGUUUAUUUGCAAGGGUUAGGGAAAUUUGUCCUUGAUAGUGUACUAACCGCGUCUGCCAACUGAACAGAUCAACUUUCUCAACAGCCUAUCUCCUCCUUGAAAAAAUAUUCGUUUUAGAAAUGGUUUGUUUCUUUUCUGUAUAGCUCUAUCACCCAUCACCGUGAGGGUUACAAAACUCGGCGCAAGCGUUCCAAGCUGUGGCGCCACAAACCACAUAAGCUGUGGCGCAAGGGUUCUAGCUGGCUAGUCACAAAAAACUAUUUCAUCCCGGAUGUCUUCCAUGCCCAUGGACCUGCCGCUUUCUUGAUCGAGUAAUCUAUGCCCAUGAAAGGGUUCGGUAUUUGUCUGAUCGAGGAAGACGAGGUAGCACAUUUAUGUGAAAGCAGUACUGGCGGACAUGAUGGUCGGUGGCCUAUUGAUUAUCUUCCAACUCCUUUAUGCCAUUAUCAGUACUACAGAAAUCAUUUGUAGGGGUGAAGUGUUUUUUUUUAGGGUGGACCAAAAGGUCUGCCGCCCCCAGGGGCGGAGCUACAGUCAACCAUCGAUGAUUUGGUCGCGAGCUCUUAUAUCCUUCCCAGGAGAACUGCCCAUACGUUGCUACGGAUAAAAAUAAUGUAUAUAAUUACAUUAAUCAUGAUUUGUUAUUUCAAAUGUGUGACAUAUUAUCGAAUUUACGUAUCUUUCUAUGCAUUUUUCGAACAAAGAGAUAUUUUUAUAAUAAUUUUAUCAGAUUAACAUGAGACAUAAUCUUCUAUGGUAUAUUAUGUACUCUAGUAUGUAAAUCUUAUGUUUGUUUGUGUAGUCUUCUACGUUGCUCGCUUUUUAUAAUAAAAGUAGAGAGAGGUGUGCGCCUGUGAACAACAAAAACCCAAAAAUGUACACAAUAAUCAAUAAAUUAUAAUUAUUAUUUUUUCCUAGAAUAAAAAUAUGGACUCAUCGAGCCCAUGAAAAGCGCAAGGAGGUGGCCCGGCAGCCCCAUCCAUCCAUCCAUUGUUAUCCACACUUGCUAAACAAAUGAAUUAAAAACAUAAUUUUAUCAACACAAGAGACGGAUUAAUUGUUUGGUACUGAACUUUCUUGGACGUUGCUGUUGCUGGAUUCGGCAUUAGGAAGGCGUCGCUCGGCCGUGCAGAGGUGCCAUUGUGGCUUUGUGGAGGCACCCCUACGUUGUGUCGGAGCGGAGCUGCAGGCAGCGUAAGCGGCCGGGUAGCACGCCACAACAUGCUAGAGACAGCGCCGAGCCUUGAGCCUUCGACUGGGGCUGCUUAUAGAGCCAACACCGCUCUGUAUCUUGCUCAGUGGAUGCGCGGACGACGGCGAGCGGCGCCUAGGAGAACUGCAAAUGCUCCUGCACACAUGCCCCAUGGGCCGGAACUGCACACUAACCCCCGCGAACGAUGGUAGUAGGGCAACAAAGCUGGCCAUGGCGCUGCUCGUUGAGCUUUCCGUGUGCGCGAACAGGCAUUUGAUAUGUUCCCUACAAAAUUAAAGGUUGUUUGAUUCAACGGUCAAAUAGUGCGAGCAUGUUAAUUGAUGCGAGUGUAUUGUGGGAACUGCCAAGGAACUGCAGGGCAUCGAGCAAGCAGUGGUGUUGCUCGGAAGUACCAGCACUAACGCGCUUUCCGAUGUGUCUCCAGCGGGGGUGGCAGCGUCUGCCUGCUGGGCAGCAGUUUCACCCUAUUCUGGGCAUCUCCCCACCCGUCUUGGCCAUCAUUACCUCUAGCAUCGUUAAGGUAUGGCUUCCUUUCAGCCUCGGCCGUUUCUUUCUCCAAUGACCGGUUAAAAGAUCAUUAUCUAAUCAACCAUUCACGUCGCCCAUAGUGUAGGCAACAGGCCAUUCUAUUGCGAUCCUCUGUCGCCUAUCGCUUCCCUUGAGAAUUUGAAGUCAGAAAUUCUUUUGUUUCAAUUUUGCUAGGUCCACUAGUUUUCUUAAAUCAGAAUCAAGUUGAAACCAGAAGAGCCUUGUUAGCUUCUUUGAUCUAUACUUCGUUGUAGCAAAUGUACAAUGACAACUCAUAUAAUGGUUGUUUCAUAUUCGAUCUGCAAGUCUUCUUCUCAUUCACACGAUGGAUGGCCAUAGGCACAAAGAGAAUUGAAGUAGUAGACCAUAAUCACUAUAGUAAAAGCUUAAAAUCUCAAAAUAUGUCAUCAUUUAUUUUUCAUUAUGCUAAAAGAUGGAGAUGAGGGCACACAGUCGUAGCUGCAAGUAAGGCCAACAGGCUCAAGGCCAUGGCUUUACAGCCAGCAGUCUUGCCUUGCAUGCACUCACGGACUAUUACCGGACUAGCAAUUGGUACUUUGACGCACUAUAUGGACCCUUACAAAAUUAAAAAAAUGAACGUCAACAAGCAAAUGAAACUGCAUGAACUGAAGUAGGGAAAUGAAGACCACGUACAGUUCUUAUUGAAGCUGAAAUGUAUGUCAUAAAAGUAUUAUUGUUAGAUUAAAGUCAAUUUAAAUAUUUAAACGAGUAACGAGGGCUCGGAUUAGUAGAAGGUGUUAGUGAGGCCCUCCAAUAGACCACUCAAUGAUUUUUAGAUCCAACUGUUUAUAUAGUAAGUUCGGAUAUUUAAUUAAUAAAUUGAAGUUGCCUUAAGAUAUGCAUAGUAAAUCACAAGACCAAAGUGGAAUAACCAUUAGACAACUAAUAAAACCAUCAUUAAGUUUUUGUCUACUUUUAGCAAUAUUGCUUAGGUUUUCUAUUUCGUCUAAAUAUAUCUUAAGCGGCUCAUAUGUCCGAAUUACCCACACAGUGAAUAAAUGUCAUUCCAGUUCAAGGAUUCAUGUGCAGUUGUCACACACUAGUGUGAACCCAUCAAGUGUGUGUCUUGCUUCCCUUUUCAAUCAACAAGCUACCUCCCUGAUUUGAAUAUAAUGAACUUAAAUGCUUCAGUUUCUAUGGUCCAUUGUUAUGUGAUGGACAUGAAAAAUGAAAAAUAUAGCCUACAAUGUUCAAAAUGCAUCUGAAGUACUAGGGUAUAAAAUAAGCUCACUGCCAUCCAAGUACAAGGGUUAACAACUAGAAAUAUAACCUUUAUUGCUAUCUGUAAACAAAAUAUGCCUGUUGAAUUACAUGUCGGGAAAGGUGAAUGCACGGAUUAACGGCUAGUAUUAGCUAAUUUUGUUGUCUUUUUUGUUAAUAACUAGGUUUCCAAUGCCAAACUCUGCGUAAGGGUUCAGCAACUGGCUACAUAUUGGAAAGGAGUUACUGUUGGUGGCUAGACCUCAUUAGAGAUAACUAUUUCAUCCCUGAUGCCUUCCAUGCCUAUGGAUGUACCGCGUGCUCGAGUAAGCUAUGGUUGCAGAUGGAUCUUAAACCUGAUGUCAAAUUGUGGAUAAUUGAAAGAGUUUGCUGUUUGCCUGCUUUAGGGAAGAUGGGUAGCACGUUUAUAUGCCAUUAUUUCUCAUGAAAGCGUGCAUAUACCAUGUUUGUCGGAGCAAGAUGAGGCUGUAGAGUAGUAGACGUGUAGAACAAUGGUACAGGUUGUAUGAAUAAUUUAUCGAAGGGGAUCAUAGACGCCACAGCCACUGAAGCUGUUGGGGCAUGAUUAGUCAAUGGUCUAAUUCCUGAUAUCUCCGUAUCCUAAUUCUCUGAAGCCUUACGGACUCUACCCUCAUCACUUCAUGUAUAUUAGUGUUUAUAAUAGCGGUUUUAUAACAAGUGCUGAAGGUAUUGGUCCUGCUAUAUCUUGCUUCCACUACCGGAUUUGUGUACAAAAUAUUAAUUCUUGAGAUUUGUCAAUGAUUUUAGGAAGCAAUGAUACCUUCAACUACCGGAUUGCAUAUAUAAGUUAGUCUUAGCCAGUUAUAUAUCAGAGGAGGAAGCACGCAUUAAAUAAUAAAUAACUCAUGUUGAUUCAACUGGUAACCUGGCCUAUGUCACUCGGAUACACCGUUUCUCUGAGGUGUUCCAGGAGGCGUAAGUUGUGGAACAAUUCCGCAACUCUUUAGAUGAUUGCUAAACUCGUGGCUCAAAUACUCGCCUCCACGAUCAGAUCGUAAGGCUUUAAUUUUUUUGCCAUGCUGAUUUUCAACUUCAUUCUGAAAUUCCUUGAACUUUUCAAAGGUUUCGGACUUGUGCCUCAUCAAGUAGACAUAGCCAUAUCUACUAAAAUCAUCAGUGAAAGUUAUGAAGUAUUGGAAUCCUCCUCUAACCUUCGUGCUCAUUGGUCCGCAUACAUCACUAUGUACGAGUUUCAACAAGUCUACUGCUCUCUCAGAAAAUCCUGUGAAAGGUGUCUUGGUCAUCUUGCCUAGCAAGCAAGCCUCACAUAUCUCGUAUGAUUCAAAAUCAAACGAAGUUAGAAGUCCAUCAGAAUGGAGCUUCUUCAUGCGCUUUUCACUUAUAUGACCCAAACGACAAUGCCACAAGUAGGUAGGACUCAAAUCAUUAGGCCGAGGCCUUUUAGCACUUACGUUACAGACAGGUGAACCAUCAAGAUUUAAAACAAAUAAUCCAUUCACAAUGGGCGCAAAAGCCAUAAACAUAUCAUUCUUAGAGAUCACACAACCAUUGUUUUCACUCGCAAAUGAAUAACCAUCCUUCAUCAAGCAUGAAGGAGACAAAAUGUUUCGACUUAAACUAGGAAUGAAAUAACAAUUAUUCAACUCCAUAAUAAAUCCUGACGGGAGGUGGAGUUGCAUCGUCCCGACGGUCAACGCAGCAACUUCUUGCAUUAUUGCCCACGCGGAAAUCAACUUCUCCUCUUUCCACACUUCUACUUCUUAUCAUUCCCUGCAUCGAAUUGCAAAUAUGAGCAACCGAUCUGGUAUCAAAUACCCAAGAAUUAAUAAUUAUCUAUAACAUUAACAACAAGCGUACCUGAGGUAGAAGUAUUCUUACUUCCGCCAUUCUUCAACGAAGCUAGGUAUUGCUUGCAGUUUCUCUUCCAGUGACCAGGUUCGUGACAAUAAAAGCACUCUUUGUCUGGAGUAGGCCCAGCUUUAGCCUUGGGCGCUGGGUUUGGCUUAGACAGUCCAGCCUUACCCUUCUUCUUCCAAAAAUUGCCCUUCUUAUUGAAGGUAGGCUUGUUCUGUACAGCCAUCACAUGGUUGGUACUAGCGCUUUUCUUAAUGUCUACCUCUGCUGUCUUGAGCAUACCAUAUAGUAUAUUCAGACCCUUCUCCGUCCCAUGCAUAUGGUAGUUCGAGAUGAAGUUCCCAUAGCUAGGCGGAAGAGAUGAAAGAAUGAAGUCAGUGGCCAACUCUUUGCCCAUUGGGAAGCCCAUCUUCUCCAAUCGCUGAGUGUAACCAACCAUCUUGAUUACAUUUGGUCCUACUGUUGCGCCUUCUGCUAGCUUGCACUCCAGAAAGGCUUUGGACACAUUGAACCUUUCAGUCCUAGCCUGUGUCUAGAACAUGUCCUUGAGCGCCACGAUCAUAUCGUGUGCCUCAUGAUUUGUUUCGAACUGCAUCUGCAGCUCGGGUUCCAUGCAAGCAAGCAUAAGGCAGCUUACCUCAAGAUUAGCAUCAAAUGCCUUCUUGUAAGCAGCCUUAACGGCAGCAGAUGAAUCAUCAGCAGGUACUGGUGGUAGUGGGGUGUCUAGAACAUCUUCCUUUUUAUCGGCCCUGAGAACAAUUCUCAGGUUACGGAUCCAAUCCGAGUAGUUUGUUCCAUUCAACUUGUCCUCUCAAGGACCGAACGCAAAGCAAAUGGUGUGGUGUUGCUAGGUGCCAUUUAAUCUACAACAAAAGUAAUGCAAAAUACACUAAGACAAACAUAUCCAUGAUAGAGCAAAUCACAUUAAACUAUGUUAACAGAAUCUACUCCCACUAAAAUCAAUAUCCCUCUAUUGAUACUUAGUGAUUCAGGAUCCACAACUAACAAGUCUACUAGUGAGCUUUAGCAUCACCGCUAGCAAACAAAGUAGAUCGGUAAGCAACUUUUCCUAAUCAUAUCACAUAUGACUCCUGUUGUUGGGUGACAUCUCCAUGUCUCGGCGCCCAACCUUUAUGCCCCAAGGUCCUUAAACGUUAAGUUAACCUUGUUAAGCAAACCAACCCUUAUGCAUGUAAGUGUGCGACACAAACCCGUCUAAUCAAGAAAAACUAGUGGCACCCUAAUUUCAUAGACCCACCACUAAUUGUACAAGACAUGGGACGGUGCAAGUUUUAGUUGGGAGGGCAUACUAACUUAAAAUUUGUGAGGGAUCGUUCUACUUCUAACAUCACAGCAUGCAGAAAGUAAAACAUAAACAGAAUAGCAUUCACACAGUUGUGACACAGUAUGACCCGUUUUCUUAUGGUGAUCUUCAUCUCCAUAGAACCUGUUCACCAUGGUGAUCUCCAUCUCCAUGUUCCAUGUGCGCCAUCCUCUUGGUGAUGAGUCCUCCAAGAACUAGAACAUGCUAUUACGCCUAAUAGCUAGUAAAAAGCUAGUAAUGAAGAUUACAUAGUUGGUUGGAUCAUCACAGAUUGGUACGCAGACCAUUAAAUACAUUAAGGUAACAACACAUAUGGCUCCUGCCGUGUUGCCGUACGCACGACACGCAGGUCACGAAUGAGUUACACACAUGCAUCACAUACACAAAGGGGCCAUACUGAUCACAAGAUACAUACAUCUUGCAAAACAGAGUUAAGCGUCCUAACGUUCCAAACUUUGGAGGCCCGAAACUCCAUCUUCCAAGCCGAAUUUGGGAAAUCUAAUGUCGCCGAAAAUGGCGAAGCAGUCGAAUUUCAUGUGUAACUUUUUCUGUAGAUCAAUUUUUAUAUAAAAUUCGCCCCGAUCCGAGAUCGUAUCGAAAAGUUACGGCUGAUUUACCGAAGCAUACGCACACGGCAAAAUCCCGACCCCGGCAGUAGAUCCCAUCUACUAUUGCACAUCUCAUGUGCCUGGCGUAUGAACCUAGAUUUCGAUUCGACCAAUCACAUUGAUCUUCGCUCACUGCAACUGGAAUUACGUGUAUCACCUAACUCCGAUGGUGGAAACCCAACCGGUAGGAGUAUGUCGUUACACUACCAUAGCAGCAAGAACACGAAACCAGGACGGAGAUCAAAUUGAAAACUCGCAUAUCUCCAUAUGCACACAUCCCAAAUCCAAAACUAAACAGCUACGGCUCUGAUACCACUGUCGGGAUACGAGGUAGGCUACACUAGCGCAAAUAAAAAAUUUUCUACCGCGUAAACCAGGGAAACUGCCGUAUAAGGAUCACGGGAUUACCACUCGACACACUACUAGUGCGCAAGAUGUAGAUUCACGUCGAUGCAGCGAAGUCGAUCAACGUAGUCGUAUGUAGUCGAUCACGUCGACGUCCAACAGCUCCUCAGCAGCUCGUCCACGUGCAGCAAGAUCUCCCUCGUGCCGCGGCUUGUCGGCGGCUCGUCACGGCUCGUCGGCGGCUCGUCCAAGUGCUGCAGGCGCAACACCUCCAAGGUAUCCACACGUGCAGGGAGGAAGCGUCACAAGCCGGACUGCUAGAUCCGUAAGUUGCAACAGGCGUGGGAGGCGCGGCUGAUGAGUUUCGUCAAAAUGGUGUAAACCCUAGGGCGCCCCCACCCCUCUAUUUAUAGAGGUUCCUAACGGGCCUCUGGGUCCGAGGCCCAUUAGUACUUCUAAACCUAAUCCAACUCGGAUCACAUCCGAAUUGGGCUUCCAGCCCCUUAAGUGUAUGACCCUAUGGGUUCGGAUACGUAUAGACAUGGCCCGAGUACUCUUACUCGGCCCAAUAGUCGGUAGCGGCCUCUAGCAAGACAUGCCAACUCCUAGAUGCACACGAAGAUCAUAUCAGACGAACCAUCACAACAUUAUAUACAUGCUAUUCCCUUUGCCUCACGAUAUUUUGUCUAGCUUCAAGCCGACCGCUCUUUCUCGAUCCUGUGAUUCGGAAUCCCUUUGUAGGUUAACUCUUAACCGUACGUAGCAUGGCCAUGCAUUUUUGGAUCCGAUCACUCGAGGGGCCCAGAGAUAUCACUCUCAAUCAGAGAGGGGCAAAUCCCAUCUUGAUUAACCAUGUCUCAUAGCAUGCUUCUUGACAAAACCGAAAGCUACCUUUAUAACUACCCUGUUACGGCGUAGCGUUUGAUACCCUCUAAGUAGGUCGAUCCACAUCUUGAAUACAUGCGACAAUCUCAGGUCUAAGGACAAAGCGUAUAUGAUGUUUAAAGAGAGAACUACUUCUCAUGUUGGGUCAGUCCUAGCACAUGUCUCCACAUGAACCCACAUUAUUAGUUCAACAUCUCCAUGUCCAUGACUUGUGAAACAUAGUCAUCAACUAAUACAUGUGCUAGUCUAAUAUUCAUGUGUGUCCUCACAUGAACUCCGACUAGGGACAACUUUAGAAUAACCAUACAAGUAAAGAGUUUCACACACAAUUCAUGUAAUUGCAAAUCAAUUCAAGUAGUCUUUAAUGGAUAUUCAAGGAACACAACAUAAAUCAUGGAUACAAAUGGAAUAUCAUCAUCUCUAUGAUUGCCUCUAGGGCAUACCUCCAACAAUUUGCAGGGUCAUGCACCAUGCGUGCGGCGACCCAUCCAUCGGACAGCGCAUGGCAUUGCACAAGACGUACUGGGAGGAUAUGCAGUGGAAUGAGCCAGACAGGUACUACGCCCUCCUCGCUCUGCUGGUUGGUUUGGGGAACCUGGAGGCCUGCACCAUCAAAGGGAUUGUAGAUUUCUUCGCCGUCCCCCGGCCAUCCCUCCAAAAGCUUUCCCGCACCACACCGGGUGGGCAUGAUGUGAGGGCCUAUCUUUACGCCCUAAUGAUAUACAGGAACAACAGUGCAAUCAUGGACGAUGACAUUGCGAAGAGAUAAAUCUACCACGUCGAAUGCAAGGAUGGUUCGGCAGUGAGCGGGAGCACAAGCUCAAAGAAGCUGCGCAACGAUGCCUGUCAGGUGUGCCGCGAGGAGGCCGCCUACCUAGUCAAUAGAGUUACAUGGGGCGGGCAUGGUGAUCCGCUUUCACCGGCACCAGUUUGAGGCGACUUCCCUUGCACUGGAGGCGACUGCGGCAAGGUUAAGGGCUGGGAACAAGCUACGCUUUAUUGCAACGAGGACUAUAGGAUACGCCAUGAAAUUGUAGCGUUCAAAAGGAGAAUGGAGAUCGAUAACUAAUUGUAGGAUUUCUUUUGCUUUUGCCUAAUGUUGUCCAUGACUCGUUGGCUGAACUUGUAGUGCUGGAACUAUGUUUGUGGUUAAUUUGGAUCAACUUGUAGUCACUACAAGGUUUUGUCUAUCCAAUGGAGUUGUAUUUUCGCAAUGUGUUUUUGUGUCUAAGCACACCUUACACCUCCCUACAUAUAGGUGUUAUGAUGCACAUAUAAAAAGAACCCACACUUGGGUACCUUCAUUUGUCCUUGGAUUUCAAUUGUGGGACCCACUACAUCCCGCCAGGUUGUGCCUCAAAUUUUUAGUACUAGUGCAAUGUUUCCUCCAUUCUUUUUUUCCUAGACCCUCAAAUAUAUCUCAGCCUCUACCCCACUUGCCCCCAAAACUGCGCUGGCUGCGUUAGGGGGGGCAACGGUUCCUCUCUGCCCAAGCGACUCCAUCCAUGGCAACUCCUCCUUCCAUGGCGACUCCUUCCAUGGCCGGCGAUGGAGAACCCAGCACACGACCAAGUACGGUCAGAGUCGAGGAAGCCGAUAUUGAAAACAAAUGUUACAGGUUCGCAUCCACCUUUAACGCCUUCUAGGUUAGGGCAGAAAAUUUCUACACAUUAAUUGCGUACAAUCGAUUUGAUGCUGCCUCAUUGGCGCAUGCUUUUAUAAAUCACAGAUCUGAUUACUACUGAUUAGUUUUUCGCAUAGCACUAGUAGUACUACAUCUUCAUUCAUUGAUGCAAGGGUUUUGAUAUCUAUGUGCACAUACAGAUCAGAGGAGUUGACAGGCUAGAUGGAUGUGGCAGGUAAUGGUACAGUGCCUGGGGGCAGAAGGACAAGAUGUGCGCCUGGUUAAGGUAAUAUUGAUAGCGCACAAUUAGACUUUGUCAGCUUGUGGGAUUACAAAGAUCAACUUCGAUAUGGUGCGUGGGACUACUACUACUACAAGAAGAGAAUAGGAAAUGCUGAUGCAUCUGUUCAGUCAAUUGGUUACCCCAAAGAUGUAGAGUGUAUGUUUCAGUACAUGGAUUCAUCUGAAGAAAGGAAACUAAGGUUGAUACUAUCAAAACAAGAAUUGGUUGGAGCUGUCAACAUUACACCCCUGAAACAACCAAGGGUGAAUGAGUCUGAUGAUGUUACUGAUGCUGAUACUAGUAAUGAUGAAUCACUUGAUGAAUACAAAGAUUGUCUUCAAGACCAAGACCUAGAUUGUGGUAUGUAUGCUGUUUGUACUACACUAUGCACAUGUGUCUAUAACUGUACAAUGUACUCACAUAGUUGUGUUGGUAACUUGCAGAUCUAUACGAUAACUAUAGGGAAGAAAUAGUAAAAACAUACUCUAAAUGGUUAAGGCAGAAAGGCCUUAUGAGAGAUAUUUGUAAAUCCUUUUUCCUCUGAACUAAUUCUUAUUUUUGAUGAAAAUUGUACAAUCGUCUAAGUGCACUUGUUUUUUAUUUGUUCAGUGGCUUAUAAUAGAGGUCAAGCAAAGCUUACAGAAGUACGUGAUGAGAGCAAUGGUAGUAGCGCCACGCCACCAUCACAAUGGCCAGCACAUGCUAGGAAACCAAAGCAGACAAUAGGUUCUAAAAGCUAAAGCUUCACACCUUCUGUAGUUUUUUAUGCUCUUAUUGUGCACGACUUAAUGUAAGUUUCUAUUUUUUGAUUGUAAUUAGGUGGCAAGAAAAUGGACCGAGAAUGCUUGAAAGGGCUAGCUGUGGUGGCCAAGAGAUCGAAGUCUGGCUCAUAGAAACUGAAAAUCAAAUUUUCCAAAAAUGUGGGUGGUCCCUGUGGAGAUAACAGACGUACCUUUGUGGAUGAGGUUGUUCUGUUUACAAAGUAGAAGGCUCCAUUAAUUGGAGUUAGAAAUUGGAAAGAUGUGUGUCAGCAUGUCAAGGAUGAUAUCGUAGAAUCUGUAAUGGUAUGUCAAUGGCCACCUCAUCCUUCAUUAUAAUGUUAUAUAUUAGUCUUGUUCCCUCUAUUUUCUUGGAAACAUAUAUUUUGAAUGUAGCAUACAUAACAAGUUUUCUUUCCCACUAGGAUCAUUGGGACCUUGAGACCACUGAGAGUCCGAACAAAAAGAUAUGGAAGGUUGCCAAUGAACGCUACAAAAGUUGGCGAUCUGUUUUGCAUUCUACAUACAAGGCAUACAACAGUUAUGAUGAGAGAAGGAGACAUAAGCCUGAAGACAUAGACAUUGUGAAGUGGCACUAUUUGAACAUGUACUUUGGAACUAAGGACUUCAAGGUAGGCCCUCUUUUGUAAGUAAAAGAACACAAUCAUGAGUUCAACUUUUCAUCGCUAACCAUUACUUUACGGGAUGACUGUGUAGAGUAGGAGCAGCAUGAACUCUUUGAAUCGUAGCCAACUGAGAACAAAUCACUCGGGGGGUUCCAAACCUUUCUCGUAGUGGAGUUGGGAAAAGGUAAAGAUUUGUUUACUUAUUCUCAACUUUCAGUACAUUACACAAUGAUAUAUUAAUAGCGUUUAAUGUUGUAAUCAUAGAGAGAUCCAGUAACUGGCGAUGAGCCACCCCUUUUGGAACUUUGGAAGACUACUCAUACUAGGGAAGAAAGAUGGACAAAUCACCUAGCUGAAAGUAUUUAUGUGUGUACUGAGUGCUAAUUUGAUCAUAACAUUGAUUCGGCAUUACAAGCUAUUUUUUGGUAUGAAAACAUGACCAAAUUAAUGUUACAAUUAAUUGUUUCUUGCCAUCAGACAUGUACAUCUAGAAAAUUAUCUCAACACAAUCAGAUGAAGAAGACCAACAAGUCAUACUUCUGGACUUGCUAAGGAAGACCAAGUUUUCUAGGAAACGUACAGGGAAACAACAGGAGCCAAAUAUAGAAGGUCACGUGGCCAUGGUUACUUGUCGAAUCCAAAACGAAAGCAAGAAGCCCUUCAGGAGAGAAUGAUUCAGGAGAGAAUAGAGAGGCCCGAAGAACAAGAAUGUCAGUUACAGGAAAAAAUGCAAAAGCAUGAAGCUAAAAAGGAAGCAGAGAUCGAACAACUUAAAGUUGCACUUAGCCAAGAAUUGAUGGGGGAAGUUGCUAGAAUGAUCGCGCCUUAUCGUCAGGCUUUACUGCAAGAGGUAACCAGAAUAUAAUUUGUGCAUGUUGAUUUAUGUUGUGUUCUAAAUUUUCAUAAUGUCACUAAUGUCUAGCCUCCCCUCUUUUAAAAUCCGCAGCGUACCCCAGCAAACAACAAUAAUACAACUGAAGUUGAUGCUAGGACCACCGAGGAUAACAUUGAUGCAAGGCCAGUACUGGACAGCCAAGAAAUAAGGAACCAUGUAUCGACAAUAAUUGGUUGUGAUUGAAAAUAUAUAUACAUAUGUCGCUAAUCUCUUGCCUGCCCGCUUUUAAAUUGUGCAGCAUACCCCUCAAACCAACAAUAAAACAACUGAUGAUGAAGCUGGGAGCACUGAGGAAAACCUUGCUGCAACACAAGUAGUGCAUAGUCAAGAAACAUCAAACCAGGUAACAAUAUCGAACAAGCAUUCCAAUCAUGAUGGUUUUUUGCAUUAAAUUUCAGCUAAAAUUGUUCCAAAAACUUUAUUAUGAUCCAGAAUGCUCCAAGAACCAUUGUCACAACCGAAAAAAGCACUUUGGCACCAACCAGAAAUGCUAAAACUGCCAACGUUGCAAAGAGUCUGUUCAAUGAGAAUCACGGUAAAGGUGUAGGAGUUGUUGCAGGAUCCAGAUUCAUUAGUACACAUCAGCUUAUAUCUGGUGCUAAAACUCGAGCAGGCAUAAAGAAAGUACAACAGGUACAAACUGGAAGUGUGCUUUCAAUAUUGCUGCAUAUUGAUUCCAAGACAAAGUAGCUUCAUAAGUUUUAAUUCACUUGUUUGUUUCUCUUUGCUUCAGCAGGCUAGUGAAGCUACGGAGGGGCAAUAAGACUCAAGGUUGCCUACAGGUUACAAGCAGAACUUCAAGCAAAGUUGAUCAUCAUGAAUGCUGGGAGUGAUCAAGAUUAUAGAUGUGUACGAAUAAUAUAGGUGUUCUACAUACUUUAUUAUUGGGAGUCAUGUGGAUGAAUGGACAAGAAUAUUUUCCGUUGUAUUAAAAAAUAUGAUGACGACAUAUUUUCCGUUGCGAUAUCCAUUGAGCGUAUAACCACGACCCGUAUUGUGUUGCACUAUCCUGUACGCAUAUAACCACGACAUAUUUUGAUGCGAUAUGGUUGAUGCAUAUAACGACGGCACAUACCUCGUUGUGAUACCUCGUGAGCAUAUUACAACGCUUUCUCAUCAUUGCGAUAUCCAUUGAGCGUAUAACCAUGACCCGUAUUGUGUUGCAAUAUCCUGUAUGCAUAUAACCAUGAUAUAUUUUGUUGCGAUAUGGUUGAAGCAUAUAACGACAGCACAUACCUCGUUGCGAUACCUUGUAAGCAUAUUACAAUGCUUUCUCGUCGUUGCGAUAUAAUUUAAGCAUAUAACGAUGACCCAUAUUUCGUUGCGAUACCCUUUAAGCAUGUUGCAAUGUCAUAUUUUGUUGGAAUAUGGUUGACGCAUAUAGCCAUGACUAGUAUUUUGUUGAGAUAUCCUCUUAGCAUAUUGCAAUAGGAUAAGUCUUGUAUUGCAACAACAUUCUUGUGUUGCAUUAACGCUUGUUUGCAACAGCGCAAUGUCGUUGCAAUAGCCACUAUAGCAACGACGCCUGCCAUUGCAAUUAACAAAAUUGCAACGACAAUGGACGUUGUAAUAUCCACUUAUUACUACGACACACAUCGUUGCAACAACUCACCCUUAUGCCCACGGCUUCCUGUGUCAUUGUAAUACCCUAUUACAACGCAAGUUUACGCAACGACAUGAAUUUUAAGGCAACGACACAAAAUUAUCGCAAUAGCUCGCUAUUGCAAUGAAAUGACCCCUAUUGCAAUGAUUUCGUGCUGUGGUGCUAGUGACAAAACCUUGUAGUGAAUGAUUUGGCUGCUAGCGUCACUUGGCCUACCCAACUCCCUCCGGGUUGGACGGUUGAGUGGGAUUCCUCCUCAGACGGCGAGGAUAGGGGUCAUUGAUGUCAUGAUCGGCUUCGUCAUGAUAUCGUGUAUCGACGUUUAGUUUCCGCAUGUUUUACUUCUUUGUUGUUUGAAACCGUGCAAACUCUGAUCUAAUAAAUUAUUGAUCUUUCUAUAAUAUGAACGGAAUGUUUUAAUCUCUGUAAGCACUAACCUUUGUGUGAGCAAUGCUUAUCGAUCCUGUAUAUGUGGUUUAUCAGAGGAAAUCCAACGGUCGACUAAGUUGACUUGUUUAAGGUGCUUGAUCGCGUGUUAGGUGACUUAAGUGCACUUUAGCUAGGUUAAUUUUAGACCAUUCCGCCACAACAUGGAUACUUUUUCCUCUUGGUUGCAUCAACACCUUAUAGGUAACUCUGAGAUUCACCCACAACUCGCUUGGUUAGCUAAGGGACCUUCUAGCACAAUCGUGAAAUUCCAAGGCUACAAGAUAAAUGAUUAUACAUUUUACACGAGAGCCCAAGACCAAAAAAGCACGAACCAAAAUAGUGGUGUCCGCAUAGAUGUCAUACACAGCACCGGUAGCAAGGACUCCUAUUAUGGUUUCAUAGAGGAGAUAUGGGAACUCGAAUACAGACCGCUGAACAUCCCUCUGUUUUGUUGCUAAUGGGUGAAGCUAACUGGCGUAACCAAAGAUCAGCAUGGAAUAACAAUAGUGGACCUAACCAAGACUGGAUACAAUGAUGAACCAUUCAUACUUGCCAAUGAUGUGCAUCAAGUUUUCUAUGUGAAGGACAUGUCUAGCAAACCAAAAAAAAUUCAGAAGAGCCAUGGAAGCCAAAGCGCCACAUAGUGCUUCUAGGUAAGAGAAAAAUCAUGGGAGUCAAAGAACAAAAUAGAGCAAUCAGAUCAUUAUGAUUAGUUUGAUGGCAUGCCUCCAUUCGCUAUUGAAGUUGACCCAAGCAUCAUGCCAAAGAAGAGGCUCCGUACUUACGCCAUGAUCAUGACCAAGGAACUUUCAUGAAGAAGUUUCUUAACGUUACAUUGUAAUGCACUAAAUAUGCUUCACCUUUAUGUAAAGUUACAUUGUAAAGUUCUAUGAUUUCAUGUACUACUUGAUACAAUUUUUAAUUUAAUGUAUCUAUGAUUUCAUGUGUGUUUAAAUUAGGUGAGGUGAAGAAUUAUUCAAAAUAUGUUUUUUGAUAUAUUUUUGCAUGUUUGAAAAAUAUAAAGUUUUUAUUUUUUUCUAUAACAAAGCCAGUUCAAAACAUAUAUUAAUUUGUAUGUUUAAAUUAGUUGAGGUAAAGAUUUAUUCGAUCAAUAUGAACAAUGUUAACCACAUACAUCAAUUGAAUUUUUCACAUGUUGAAAUUAUUUAAUUGAAUAAUUUCUUGAUGAUAGUGAUGUAGUAAAAUAAUUAUUUUAUAAACUAAAAGAACUAGUAUAGAAUUAAUGACUCAUUCAAACUUAUUGUUAAUAUACUUGCUAAUUUAAUAUAGUUUUGCAUGUUCCAAAUAUGUAAAGUUUUUAUUUUUUCCUUCCUAAAAUCCAGUGAAAACAUAUAUAAAAUCUAUUUGCAAAAAAUAGGCGAGAACUGAAAAAUGGAAAACGAAUCUUUAUCCUAGAUGCAAAUUGCAUCUAGGACAAAAUGUCCCCCCUUUAGGCCCGGUUGCAAUUUGCCACUAGGAUAAAAGGGUAAUUUUCGCCUCCCACGCGAACGUACCCUUUUGUCCUGGUUGUAAAUUGCAACCGGGACUAAAGGGGGGGCCUUUUGUCCGGUUGCAAUUGGCACCCAGGACAAAAGGACCCUUUAGUCCAGGUUGCAAUUUGCAACCGGGAUAAAAAGGGUCGUAAAAGUAACAUUCAUCUUCUCCACCCUCCACCCUUCAACACUUAGCGAAAUUUUCACCACUCUCCAGGAUCUACCGCGCCCGUCCGCCUCUGAUGCCGCUGGUCUCUCAUCCCCGCCCGUCCGCCUCCAUCGCCGGCCGCCGUGCUACUCAUCACCCGCCUCCAUCCCACUGUCGCCUCCUCCAUCGCCCGACCCGCCACCGCCUCCUCCGUCGCACCCUCUCGUCGCCACCGCCUCCGGUGCGCCCCCUCAUUGUCACCUCCCUCCGCGCCGCCUCUGUGGUGAAACCGCCCAACUUAAGCUGGUUUAAGUGCACCUAAUCGCUGUCGGGACAACAAUUAUUCGAAACACACCUAAAACAGCAUAAGUCCGGUAGUCCGUCGAGUGUCCCUAGGACUCCUCGAAAGAUCCACGACGUGUCUCAUAGCCAUACACCAGGAUCGCUUCCUCGAUGGGAAGGCAUCAACAAACAUUACAUUUUUACAUACAUACCGGGGUACGAAUUAUUACAUACCAUAGUUUGAAACAAACUUAAUAGUGCAGGUUAGCGCGGUUCUAAGAGUUCAAAACAUGAACCAGUCUAGGUGAAAGAUAAACAUUUAAGUUUUAUUUCUAGGGUAUUUCGAGACUCGUAAAAUACCCUAGUUCUUCGGAGCUUCUUCCUCAGCGGACUCCUGUUGUGGCUCUGAAAUAGCAACGAGGGAUAACCCUGAGUAUAGGGUACUCAGCAAGACUAACCCGACUAACCAAUAUAAUAGCUUUUCUGGAAUUGCAUGAAAGCCUUUCAGUGUACUGGCUGACUCAUAUUUUUGCCAAAAGAGCUUACUAAAGUGAAACCUUAACUUUGUCUUUUACUUCAAUUGAGUUAUUACCUAUCCAAUCUAGAUAAUGAAAAAGAAAUACUUUUGCAAACAGUAGGAAAUUAAGUCAUACAACAAAUUAAUUGGAAAGACAUUGCAUUCAUGAGAUUACACUACGAUGCUUAACAGCGAUCUAGCGCAUUCAUAACCGAGAAUUGCGGCGAUCCGGAUCAAUUACAUCCUAUAGGAGAGCACCCUGAUCACCAGCUAUGUACAACUGUCCGGGUCGUACAUAACGACCUUUCGAUUAGCAUACCCAAAGAUUGGGAAUAAGACUACCCGAACCCAGGGACGCACCCCCACAUGGGACCCCAUGUCUGGCCCGAUCUCCAUGUGAGUUUUUAGGCUAUGCCCCUGCCAAUCUCCAGCACGUCAAGCACGGGUACGAAAUAUUCCGGAUCAGAGAGUUUACUAACCUACCGGGCUUUACUGGUCCCAUACCCAGUAAGCAACCAGGUGACAUUCACUUGAUCAAAGGUUAAGACAACGAUCGGGCCUUAACCAAAUUAAUCUAGCAGACAGAACUAACAUCUCUAGCUUCUAUCGGCUUUCCAAAUUUCCAAGCUAACUUUCCAUAUCUAGCAUGUAUGACCCAACAAUUUACCUUAAGGUUCGGUAACCAAGUUACUUUCAGUAUCUAAGCAUUGCUAAGCAUGGGUUAAUUACUAAUUAUUGAACAAGUGGCAAAGAUGUCCUUAAAACAAGGCAGGAUCAUGCACAAGAAUAGGUUUCAAUCAACUCCUAGACUUAAUGCAUUGAUAAAAGAAAUAACCAAUAAUUGAACACAUGAAAUAAUAACUCCAAAACAGAUAGGUAUAGAUGCACCGGGGCUUGCCUGGGAUCAACAAAUGUUAGUUCUUCGGAAAACCCCUUUAGUAAAAGAGGCACUUCAACAUUUCUCGGACUCUGUCAAUCUUCAGAUGAAUUCCACGAAUUCCACUUCAGAAGCUUCGAUGUCUAUGAUUUAGUACAUGCAGGAGUUAGAGAUGCAAACUUUUGAAUACAUGACUAUACAACUUUCCUUCAUGAUAAAGUUGCAAGCCAACAAGUGACUAUACAACCUAUCUUCACAAUAAAGUUGCAAGCCAACACUAAUCUACCCAUAACAUCUAACCCACGAUUUUUUAAUCUCUUUACUAACCUGCCUUAAGCCCUUUCUUUUAUUUUAGAAAAGCAUUACAAAUAUUUUCUAAUCUCAAAAGUUAUUUCCUAUGAUUUAAUAAUAAUUUGUGAAUAAGAAAACAUUAUUCAAUAUUUUAUGCAUUUAAUAAAGGUUAAGCAUUUAUUUAAAUAACUUAAUGACGCAUUAAAUAAAUACCUAAAUUUUAUUAUUUUUCCUAGGGUAUAAAAAUUUGAAUGCAUAAAGGAAAAUAAAAUAAUCCUAACAAAAUUGGUCUCACUAAUUUUGGACACUCCUAGAAAUUUCUGUGAUUUAAACGGUGUAAACCGAAUUUUAAUGUUCUUUAUCUAUAAAAGGAAAACCUAAUGUUUAUCCAAAUAACCCCGGCCUAACCUUUCUCACUCGUACUAGGCCCGUUAAGCUGGUCCACCUACUCCCGGUCUCUACCUUAUUCUACUCGCCGGCCCAACGAGCGCCCAAACUCUAACGAGCCUCCUCACGACCGGCCUGCUCUCCGCACAGGCCAACAGCCCAACUUCCUCCUCCCUACCCAUGCCUGACGCAAGGGCCUUUUUUUUUUGGGGCCAGCCCACCCCGUUUCUUUCCCCCUUCACUUCCACCUGGGCCUCCAACCGACAAGCCCCUCUCAACUCCCCUGGCGCAUAGGCCAGAACAGGGGCGCGACAGGCAGGGGGCGGGGCUCGCCGACGGCGCCUCCCCGGCGGCGUGGCCGGGCUGGGGGCAUCCCGAAACCGGGGCACACCCACGGGCGGUGGCGGCCCUCCAGGAGGCGGCCUGUGCCGAGCCCUCCACGGUGGCGGCGGCAAAGGCCGGCGGCCGGCCGGCGCAAAGCCCGACGGUGGCGCAAAAACGGCCUUCGGUGCCCCCCCUAUGGACCCUAUUCGACUCAGCAAGCUCUGCAACCCAAGGAAUCGAGCAAAAGGGGCAGCACGGAGAGGCUCACCAAAGAACUAUGGUGGCGGCUGGCGGAUUAAAAUGGUGGCGAUUCGGAGCUUUGACGAUGAGGAAACAGAAAUCGGAGGGGCGUGGACGUUGCGGUGGGGCUAGCGAAGCGUCUGGCGGGCGGAUUCGCGAAGAGAAGCGAAAGCGACGGAGCGAGGGUGUUGGCCAGCGGCGGCGUUGCUUUCCCGAGCUUUGGCUCGCAUGGCAGUAGAAAUGGCAAAGGGUUAAAUGGGAUGAGGGUGAGGUGGUAAAGAUACAUAACUUUUACCGUGCAUGUGUGCCACCUCGAUGACCUGCAGGCCUGCGUGGGCGCGGACGUGGUUGUUGCGCUGGUCGACGGGCAGAGGUGCCGGCGGCGGCACGGCUCUGUCCCCUAUUUCUUCUUUCUCUUCUUCGAAAUUCAGACCUCCACAUCGACCAAUUUCAAAUCCAAUCUCUCGAAGAUCCCUUCAGCAGUCUUGUAGAGUAAUCCAUGUACUUCAAUUGAUAGAUUGGCCGCUACCUGAAAUGAGCACCCUAACACCGAGAUUUUGAAGCUCAAAGUUUGACCAGAACCUUUUGUAACUGAACCUCGGUCAUUCAGUCUCGUCAAGAUCCAAAACAGCGACUUCUUCCCUACUUUGAGCUCAAUUUAAAUUGCUUAAACUCCUUCCAUACAGCUUGAACCUUGCCUAUCCUUGUUCUACUACUGUUGGCGCUAGAAAUUGGCUGAUCGAAUUCCCAGCGUCAGACACACGACCCGGGAGAAUCUGCUUAGCUCCUGUUCGAGUGAUCACCCUAGUGCGGUUCGUGCAGCGUGCCAGCCAAUCUGACCUGUUGAUUGGCAAGGAAAGAAACGUGUCAGAUCCCAGAGGUUGCGAUCGGCUAAGGUUCCGAUCUCGAGAUAGCUUAUCAGUGAAUCGGCCGAUUUGCUGUAAUAAGGAAAUCGGCUAUAAUGCAGCCGAUUACCGGGCAGCGUUAAUAAAGAAGACUGCUGGAGUAAUCUAAACAAUGCUUAUAGUAACAACACUAGGAAUAGAUCUAAAUCGGCUAUGCGUAAAAUAAUAGAUUGAAUAACAAGGCACAGGAAAGCCGAAAGUUCCAAUUCCUAGCUGGAUAACUGGUGAUAAAACUAGAACUACAGGUAAAACCUAGAAUUCUAGUGGAUAUCGAUAACUGGUGAAUAAAUCUAAAUGAAACGACAGCGAUGCGCCCGAAGUUAAAGCUUAGAUAUUACUCGGUAAACGAAACUUACAGAAUCAGCCGGAGGUCAAGUUGAUGCAGCCUAGCCAACUCGUAUGAACUCGUGAAAAAGAAGAAAAGUAUUGGCGAAAUCGCCUGCUUGAAAGUAAGUGUGAGGAAAUAGUAGUUUGUUGUAUUGAUUUGAUGAUGAUUACAGAUCUACAAGGGUGGCUAUUUAUAGCCUGUUACAAACGACUUCUUAACCGACUAGAACUCUAUCUCUAAUUUUAAACAAAAAAUGAAUAUUUACAAGUACGACUCGUACUGGGUCAAUCAUCAUGCUGUCAUGGGCUGACUCCCUUUUUACCUUCAUAAUCCACUUCAAGCCCACACCGGCCCAAUUCCUCCAGCCUCCUAAUCGGCCGAUUUCUACCAACUCCAUUGGCAAGGGACAGCCGAUUACGGCCCACAUGUUUGGGGUUCUGACUACUCCGACCCUGGGACCUAAGGUCGGGCGAGGUGGAGUCCCUCCCUCAGAGGGUCGGGCGCAUCCGACCCCAGGACUCAGGGGUCGGGCGAGGCGGAGUUGCACCCUUAAAGGGCAAUCGGCCAAUCCUUGACUGUAGCACCAAUCGGCCGAUUUCCAACCAUGACCUCUGUGUCUUGCCGCAUCUCCUGAGUUCUUCCUUUCCUGACGCCGAUUUCAUACGAGUCAAAAUAUGGCGUCAACAACUACUAACAAAGAUUCCAUUUUGCGCAUGAACUCAUAUACCUUUUACAUUGGAUUUUUCUUAAAUUUGCUCCAAACAUUGCUAAUCAAUGCCGUUUUUCAGACAACAUUAUUUCGGCAAGAAGCCUGAAAUCUGUGCAUUUGCUGAAUUUUGGGCUUCGCUUUAAAUUCGAACCUUCCACUUUCUCUGGCCAACAACAUUUCAUUUACCUUCUCUAUAGUCCAUAUUUCACUAAUGUCCAAAAACAUCUGCUCACUUACAAGAACAAUUCUCCAGAAAUUGGCUCCAAAGUUGUGUACUCAAUAUUAAUUUCAGAGUUACGCGUUUUCGGAUGACUAAGUGACUUUGUUGAUUCCAUAUUCGAUUGUAUUUAUGAGAGCUUUAUAACUUGAUUUAGACUUCAAGAUUCAUUCCUUUGAGUUAUGAAUACUCUCAAGACUCUAUUUCCUAUUUUUGCCAAAUUUAUCCAAAUUUGAAACUCCAAAUUGCAAAUUUGGUUGAACUCGGCUCAAAUUCGAUUUUGGCUCAAAUUACCUUCCUUUAAUCCAACUUCACCAUUAGCUUCUUAAUGUGAUACUUAAGUUGUCAUUAACACUGGGUGUUACAGCCUCCUUGUCGCCCACCUCCGUCCCCGCCGCCUCCGUGCCCGCCAUUGCCCGCCGCUCCAGCCGCCGUUGCCUGCCGCCUGGCCCACCGCCACCUCCUCCGUCGCGCCCCCUCAUUGCCACCUCCCUCUGCACUGCCUCCUCAUCGUCGCUCUCCAUCGCCACCUCCGUCGUCUGUGCCAGCUCCGACCCCGCUGCCACCGGCAUGCGCCGCCCCGACCUCCUCGUCUUCUGCAUUGCCACUCCGUCGCCCCGUCCGCCGUAGCUCGCCGCCAAACCUCUGCCACCUGCCAGCCCGGUGACGUGCGGCGCCACCCCCAUCGCGACCCCCGGCCCUCUCCACACGUACAAUGGGGCCCUUGCUGAUGCUAGGGCCCUUUUUUAUUUUUUUAGUUAGAAAAUCAGUAUGAUUAGUACAAAAUCAGUAGGAAAUUACUAUUAUUAGUUGAAAAUCAGUAGGAAAUUACAAUAAUUUAGUUCAGAUGCUUAGUAUAAUUUUGUAUACAUUUUGUAUAACUUUGAGAAAUUACUACCUUUUAUUAUAAAUGAUUCGAAAAUUAGUAGAAAUUUGUAGCAAUGCUUAAGAUUUAUUCAGGAUAAGUUCUUAGUAUGAUUUUGUACACAUUUAGUAUAAUUUUUAGUACAUUACUAUUAUUUAGUACAAAUGCUUCGAAAAUUAGUAAAAAUUAGUAGAAAUUUGGUAGAAAUUCUUAGAAAUCAGUAGAAGUUUGUAGAAAUUUGGUAGACAUUCUUAGAAAUCAUUAGAAAUUUGUAGAAACACUUCAAAUUUGGUACAAAUUCUUAGAAAUUAGUAGAAAUUUGAAGAAACACUUCAAAUUUGGUAGAAUUGCUUAAAAUUAGUAGGAAUUAGUAGAAAUUUGGUAGAAAUUCUUAGAAAUUAGUAGAAACACUUCAUGUAGGAUUCGUUCAAGACAUUUCAUGUAAGUUUCAUUCAAGACUUUCAUGUAACUUUCUUGUAAGUUUUCAUGUAAGUUUCAUUAAAGACAUUUCAUGUAUGUUUCAUUCAAGAUAUUCAUGUAAAUUUCUUUUAGGUUUUCAUGUAAGUUUCAUUAAAGACAUUUUAUGCAAGUUUCAUUCAAGACAUUCAUGUAAAUUUCUUGUAAGUUUCAUGUAAGUUUCAUUUCGUGUAUGGUUUCAUGUGUAGAUUUCAAUCAGUUUGUUUUUUUUCAUGGUUGUUCUAUGAUUUCAUGUAUAUACCUUAACGUACAUGUAACUAUAAUUUCAUGUGUGUUUAACGUAGUUGAGAUGGCAGACGACAAGACCGCAAGCUAUCUAAUGGAGCAGAUUAUUGCUGGUGGUAGUGGCUCCAACCUUCCCGUAACGUACAUCGAUAAAGAGGGUACCUAGGCGAACAUGUUCCUCAACAUGUCCAGCGAUGGCAAUGAAGAGCCUCAGCCCUAGCAAAACCUUGUCGUGAUGGAAGGUUCCAGCGAGGUAUAUAUCAUUUCCAUUGUUUUACCCCAUCUAUAAUGUCUUAUUCAUUAUUAUUAUAUACUAAUUAACGAAUCUUGAACUGUUAGCCCUCUGGAUCGAUGAACCGUCAUAAGCCCUGAGGCCGUACAAAGGUGAUGGAUGGAGGGCUUAUCAUCAUGGAAGUCACAGAAGAGGGCAAGCCGGUUGCUCCCGAAAACAUGGCAAAAAAGUACGUGAGCCAGAUCGAGGCAAUCGUAAGGGACAACGUGCCCAUCAACAUCAUGGAAUGGAGGGGUGAAAGUACUAAUGGAUACGCGCUCUCGGAUACAGAAAAGGAAAUGUUGUGGUUAGAUGUUAAGAAACAUUUCACAUUUUUCCCGAAGGAUGUAAUGAAGAUUAUGUGAAAUCGUGGAUGCUGAAGAAGAUGGCCACACAAGAAGGGCUGAUGUCCAGAUUUCAAUGAGUGGUCAGGGACCACUGGGAGUCAUUUGUUGAAUACAAGACGAGCGAAACGGUGCGAACAAGGUUCGCACCAACUUUGUAAAUGCUGGCAAGAAGGAGUACCAUCAUUGUCUAGGGCGAGGUGGUUACAACACUACAAUUUCUAGAUGGCGCAAGAUGGAAAAAGACCUGAUUGAUUGGGGUAUCCUACCAGCAACUCUUGAAUAGCCUGAUCGAUCGAAAAAUUGGUAUUACGCUCAUGGAGGCAACAUGAGCCAAGAGGAUGGGACAUUGAUCUUCAAUGAGACAAUAUGUCAGAAGGCCAAAAGGCUUAUCAAGAACAUUGAAGAUGACACGGCUGGGAGUUGAAGGUGGACCGAGAGAAUAAUGAGCUAACAUUGGCCCAAGAAUCCCGAGCACCUAGGAUAUUGCCGAGGGUACGGGGUCAUUCUGUGGAAGUUCGCUUUUCGAGGCGACAUGGACUCAUACAGAAGCCGCAAGCGAAGAAAGGAAUAGCAAGAGGAGAGCUGGCGGCGCAUGUUAGAAUCCAAAGUGCAUUCACAUGAAGUAAGAAUGCAGGAGGAAAUCAAUCAUCGAGUGGCCCUAGCAGUUGCGAAGUUGGCCCAAUCUAGAGCACUGCCGGAUCCAAACGUUAGAUGAGCAACGGUUCUUUGUGGCUGUGAUCACGCAACGCACCUCAUGUGAAUGGCAUAAACUGGUCGGCAACGUCACCAUUAAGGUAUACUUAUACAUAAUAAUUAUGCAAUCUUCUCAAUCCAUCCACGCCUCAGGAGUUUAAUAACUUCUUUAUUUCUACUAUAUGUACAAGUGGCAUACGAGAGUGCCUUACCAAUCCUGCCAGGGUAGACAAGCGAUGCCAUGGAGGUUCUACCUGGCUAUGCUAGCGUCAGCCUAGAGCAGCUCGUUGAUAGCCAAUAUGAAGGCCUAGAGCUCGACCUCCUGGGAGGCGAUGGGGAAAGGACACUAGGAGAUGCGCUUCACGGGAUCAUUCUAUGGUGCAAAUGUUACAUCAUCAUCCCCGGCAUGGAGGCAUCAUUGCUCCCCGUAGAUCCCCAGCAGCGACCAUCUCCUCAAAGCUCUCGUCAUCUCCACCACGGCCUUCUCCAGGACCGUCAUCUCCACCACAACUUGCUCCAGAACCAUCAUCUCCAGCACAACCAGCUCCAGGACUGUCGUCACCACCGGGACCGUCUCUUCCUGCUCGAUCACGGUCUCCAUCUCCAGCACAUCCUAGUGGUGCGAGCGACGAUGACAAUAACACCCCUUCCCAAUCACCAUCGCCAGGACUAAGAGCUGCAUCGAGCAAGGAACCUGUAGCAACACUUAAGAAGUCGCAACCACCGCCUCCCAAGCCAAGACAGAGAAAGAAGAAAACAAACAAGCCUGAAUUGACUCCUGACAAAUGUAGGGAGGAGAAAAUGCAUGAGGAUUGCUGGCCCAAACCAAAGCAGAAUGCAGGGAGCGGUUCAAGAAAAUGGCCGAAGAAAGAAAAGCAAAGGCGAUGGAGCCACCGCCAGUAGAUCGAAGACAAUUAAAUUUUUUUAUAAAGAUGUCAGAAGAAGCCAAGAAGAUGCUGCCACCUUAAACUACGAUCGGGUGUUAGUCAAGGCUGAUGAGAGGAAAAAAUGGAAAGGAAAGUCGUCUUCAAGGGGUACUAUCCUCCACCUUAGACAUCUACCAAAAAAGACUCUCAAAAGAAAGCAUCAAUGCUAGCAAUGCCCUUGGAUCAAUAAGAACAAGUAGUGAAAUUCAUACAAGAAACAGGAAUGUCCUUUUCUGAAUGUCUAGGGCAAAGUGAGCCACCAGCUGCAUAGCCAGUUGAACCGAAAUGGACCUUUUGAGCUAGGCAAGUCUCUGGUAAGGCCUGAGUUGAUAUGGAAACUAUCAACAAAGAUGUACAAAUUCCAUGAAUGGUACAUCAAGCAGUCCAUCGUUGACAGGGAAAUAUUCGACCUUAAGGUCAAACCAAUAGCCUGGUUGACGUCUCUCUCAUCAGCGCCUGGGCUUUGCAAGUGUUCGUUUAUCUAUAUGUAAAUUUUGGCUCAUAUCAUUAUUUUUUGUGCAUGCAUCGCCCUGCUAACUUCGUCUUCCAUUUUAUGUAGGAUGCUAAUUCAGAUGUGCUGAUGGGAAGUGUACUUCCAUGUUGGCUUCAUGGAUCCAUCCCUAGUUAACCAACACAAGAUAUGGGAUUUUGCAGAGAAAACGUUGAUGGAAGUAUACAAUUUCCUGGACAAACAAAAUUACAGCAAGGAAUACAUCCUACUUCUAUACAACUUCAAGUAAGUGUGUGUAUACCAUCUAUUUUUAUUUUCUUUUUCCUUACCUGAUUAAUGUUAGUUAGCUCUAAUAUGAACAAUUACGUACGCAGUUUCCACUGGAUCCUCCUAAUAAUUGAGCCUGAUAGAAGCCACAUCACUGUCUUCGAUUCAUUGAGGAAACCACCGAAGGAGUACCAAGACGUUCAAGACAUGCUAAACUUAAUAAUUCUGGACUUUAUCUCUGUGCAAAAGUUUGUUUCCUAAAUUUUCACCUAACACUGUAUCAUUCAUUAACACAAAGGUCCAUUCAAAGAAAAACUUACAUGGAACACAAACUUCCUGGCAUGUAUGAAGUUUGCAUAUUUUGUACAUUAUAUAGCAUGAAUAUUUCAUAACUUGUUUUUCCCCACUGUAGUGCUUAAGACAGGAACUCAAAAAUAAUCUAUGUGGCUACUAUGUCUCUGAGCACAUGCAUAGUUUUUUGGGACACAAGGUACUAAAGAUGACGCCGCACAACUAUAAAGUACGUAAAAGAAAACUAUUAAUAGUUAAAUAUUUUCUAGCUCCUUAUAUUUAAUUGUUCGUGUAACAUUCACAUAUUUCCAGAUUACAGAUGCAUAAUAUUCAACAAAAACUCUUGGAGAAGGAAAGAAUAAGGGCAAUAUGUGAAGGUCUCAUGGGAUUCCUGGUGGACGAGGGGGUACAUCAACAAGGAGAAUUUUAUUACAAUGGAUGAAAAUUAGACGCACCGAGCAACACCACGACGGGAAGAUCCAAGGAAUGACUGGGGCAAAUUUUUGUAGAUAUAUAUACUAAUUGUAUAAAUACUAUGCUAAGAAUUGUAUAUAUACUAAGAAUUGUAUAUAUAGUAAUUGUAUAAAUACUAGUUUGAUUUCAUAAUAAAAAAAGUCUUAACUAAACUAAAGGGUACGUGAUGCAUGAAAUUACAGGCGCCUGCCUGCAUGGCGCCUGUAAUUUCAUGCAUGCACUUUAGUCCCGGUAGAAAAAACCAACCGGGACUAAAGGGAGCACCCUUUACUCCCGGUUGGUAAAACCAAGGAGGACUAAAGGGGCCUGUCCCGCGCCUAGCGUGGCAGCCCCUUUAGUCCUGGUUGGUUUUACCAACCAGGAUUAAAGGGUGUCUUUAGUCCCAGUUGAGUGACCCGGGACUAAAGACCCCCCAUUCGUCUUGAUUGCUUUAUCCCGGAUGGAUUUUCGGGAAAUUUUAUCCCUACCAACCAGGACUAAAGGUGAGUUUUCUACCGGUGCCUGUUCUAUCUCACUCAUUUGUCCUGUAGCUACAAGCUAAGGCCCCAUGUCAUCUAUGGCUUUUGUCCUGUAGCUACUAGCUAAGCCCCCGUAUCAUCCAUGGCUUCUGGUGCCUCCACCACACUGAAGAUGGCCUCUAUCACCCCUUGCAUCCUGCUGGUCCUGCUGUCCAAUGGCCACCCUACGAUGGUGGCCGUUGAUUGUGUUGCGGCUUGCAAAGACCCGUGCCAGAGCUUUUCUAACGGGUUCUGCGCGGGUGGAGCCACUGGCGGUUGCACAACUACGGCAGCAGCUACAACAUGCCGCAAUUUGGCGUUCUCGCAGUGUGCGAACAACUGCUUCAUAGUUUGCACUGCCGAGAUCAUCACGCCUUGCACUUGAAGAUGCAUUUGUGUUCCUACUUCCAUGUUAUUAUUAAUGCAGAAUAAUAUGGAUAAAUACGUGCAAGCAGGCCUGCCGUCCGCGGGAGGAGGUACGCAAGCACGCAUGAUGAGCCACUGUUGUUUUUCCAUUUUAUCAUUUACUUAUUGAAGGCAAUGUACGUGCCUAUCUCCUGUGUGGUUGAGCAUGUCAUGUUGGAAUUCUGUCCAAAGUUUUACAUACCAUCUUGUAUUGUUGUGUAUGCGUAUCAAUAUAAUUUAUGAACUAUUUU